This 88918-nucleotide long non-coding RNA is filed under the name Musa acuminata (dwarf banana). RNAcentral's name for it is "long non-coding RNA (MACU_LNC006811)". The record is from RNAcentral. Lineage: Eukaryota; Viridiplantae; Streptophyta; Magnoliopsida; Zingiberales; Musaceae.
UCAGACGCGCUUCCGGACUCGCUAUCAUCAUCAUCAUCGCAAGCGCACACCGCAGAGAAUGAGGAAAUCAGGAUUCCGCUGGAGCAAGUACAAGCAGAGUGUACUGCCAAAAGUGUGGGAAGAAAGCAUGCAGUAAAAGUAGGAGCUUGCUGGGUAAAAAUUAGAGUUUGCCCAGGAGGGAGGAGGGGAGAGAGAGAGAGAGAGAGAGAGAGAGAGGGGGGGGUUGCCAGGCUCAUCUUUGUCCUGUCAAGAGAAGAAGGCGGCACCCACCUGAUGUUCCCGACCUUUGAGCGACCAGAAAAACAAGGGAAGGAAGCCACUUUGCGCUACAAAAGGAGGAGGUGGAUCUGAAGCUAUCUUUCCGUGGAUGUCGAACGGACGUGCAAUGGUCUACUGUACUGCAUUCAGUGUUUGAGGAUCUUAAUUAGUGGACAGGAACAAGGAACCAGAAGCUGGUUAGGUGGAUACUUAGCUAGGUAGGUGUCGGAGUCGAGUUAAGGGGCUGGACGUGUUUAAGGUGCCAACACCUUCACGAGAUCUACUGAAGACACCACAGGAGAAGACUCCAAAAGAACCCGAGAAAAAGAGCGAGUGUUCUACGGAAGAAGGGAGAGAGAGAAGAGAGAGAGAGAGAGAGAGUUUGGGUGGAGGAAAUGGAACGUAGAAGGCAAUAGGGGAAGUACCGCUCGUUAAGGAAUCCUUUCGAUUGUCUCCGCCUUGGCUCUCCUCGCAAGGAGUUGUUAGCUUAGGGAGGAAAGCUGGCGAACCGGUGGUGGGCGGGGAGCGUGGCGAUGGGCGGAAUAGACCCCGUCGUCGCCACCACUCCCUCGACCCCUUCCCUCCAUGUCCGCAACCCCAACGCCCAACUCAGCCCCCACCGCCGAGACCUAGCGGACAACCCCGCUACCCCGAACAGCAGCAGCAGCAAGAACAACAACAACAACAACAACCAUGUCAAGGACGACGACGCCGGCACCGGAGACGACCACUCCGGCGGUGGCGGUGGUGGCCUUGACAUGGUCGAAGCCGGAUCAGGCGGGAGCGGAGGCGGUAGCGGCAACUCCGGACGCCGCCCUCGGGGCCGGCCGCCCGGGUCGAAGAACAAGCCGAAGCCGCCCGUCAUCAUCACGAGGGAGAGCCCCAACGCGCUCCGCUCUCACGUCCUCGAGAUCGUCAGCGGCACCGACAUCAUGGACGCCAUCGCCGUCUUCGCCCGCCGCCGUCAGCGCGGCGUCUCGAUUUUGAGCGGCAGCGGCGUCGUCACCAACGUCACGCUCCGGCAGCCCGCCGCGCCGCCAGGCUCCGUCAUCACUCUCCAUGGACGGUUCGAGAUCCUCUCUGUGUCAGGCGCAUUCCUUCCGGCGCCGUCGCCCCCAGGCGCCACGGGGCUGACCGUGUACCUCGCCGGUGGGCAAGGGCAGGUGGUGGGUGGGGUCGUGGCCGGGGAAUUGGUGGCCUCGGGGCCGGUUUUGAUCAUAGCAGCCACCUUCGCUAACGCCACCUACGAACGGUUGCCGCUCGGCGACGACGAGCCCGAGGCGGCUGCAGCACCACCGGGAUCGGAGGAAAUGCAGUUGCUACAGAGCCCAGGAGGAGAUGGAGCAGGUGGUGGUUCGUCGUCACACCAGCUGCAUGCCGGAUUGGCGACCGACCCCCCUCUCUUCAAUCCACCGCCGAGCCUGCUUCCCAAUGGGCAGAUGCCGCACGAGGUGUUCGGUGCGUGGACCUCAACGAGUUCGCGUCAUCCGCCAUCCUACUGAGUACCAAAACCUCUCUCUCUUUCACAUACAACAUACAUUUCUGUAGAAGGAGAACCAAUAGUCAUGCUGCUAGUUCCAUCUACAUCAUGCCUUCCAUCUUAAUACUCUUGCAUCAUUUUGUGAACUUUUAGACGUGUACUAUUGCUAGUUGCAGUUUCUGAUGGUUAUUUUGGUUUGUUUCUUCUUUCUUUCUCACCAUUUCUCUUCAAUCUAUAUAUUUUGCCCGAGAGAGAGAGAGAGAGAGGAGGAUUUCUGAUUAAUGUCCACUGCUCCACUGCAUCUUUCCUGAGUCGGCUGUUUCCAUUUCAAGUUUGGAUGAGGAUGUUGGGGGGUUGGAGUGCAUGCUUCAAUGCCAAGAAAGGGAGAUGUGCACCCAUGCUCUAUUAGGUUUGGUCUUUUCUAGGUAAGAAAAAGAACCCAUUAGAGACAAUGGUGGUAAAACGUUAGGUUGCAAGUUGCAGGAAUGGCAUAGUGAUCCUCUUGUUCUCUUUUCCCUUUCUGCCAUCUGCGUGGCGUAUGAAACUAUAAGACUAUCAGUUGACUUAUUACAUUUAGUUUUCUGUUUUCGCUGGGAAUCAAACUUUGAGUUUGUAUUUAUCAGAAUUAGAGCUUCAUGUUCUGAGAGGUUGAUCUGAGAUCAACUAUUGUUAUCUCAUGCAGCCAUCUCGCUUGCUACUGAAGUCUAUCCUUCUGAAUUGCACAAGCAGAUAAUCGUAUUUAGUUUUCAGGGUCGAAGGCUUCAGUGAGGCUACCAUUAGAUAUGAAUUCGCUUAUUUGAAACUAGAUUGAUAUAUUUUUCAAAUGACAUCGAAAAAUGAUUGCUUAUGUUUUUAGACAAACAGAAUUAUCUAACUCAUAAUCUAAAAUUAGUAACAAUUAUUUUUACCCUAAGGAUUUGGAGACAUUAUUUAUAUAGGCAAAACCAAAUUCAUCCGAAACACAGAAUUGUUUCAUGAUUUAACCUGCAAUUUACACGUUAUUAAGUUUUUUUUAUGAUUUAACCUACACUUUACACAUGAUUGAGUUUUUUCAUGAUUUAACCUGUACUUUACACAUGAUUGAGUUUUUUCAUGAUUUAACCUGUACUUUACACAUGAUUGAGUUUUUUAUGAUUGUCAUUUUAUAGGGAGACUUAGAUAUUAAAGAUUAUCCCAAAGACUAAAUCAAAAGUAAAUUCACUCUUUCGAUUUGGAGAUAAACAAGUCAUCACGCAGGAGCCUUGUGCACCGGUAAUCUUGCCGGUGGGCAAUGGCAGAUUGCAUGCAUCUCCAACCAUUUUACACAUAAUUGCUUUAUAGGUUUUCCUUAUGUUUAUGUGCUAAUAUCGUGUGAAUCUUUUAGCAUCAUAUCUUAUAGUUUACAUGAUCAUAUUGGUCUGCCCAUAUACAGAAAUGUGUAGAUGAUGAUAUGAACAUAUGUAUUUUAACAACUUAAGCCACUUGCCAUUAUUCUUCAACAUCUUUGCUUAUAUUCUCCUCAUUUUUAGCUUUAAUGUAGAAGAAAAUGAUCCAAAUUCAUAAUUGGAUAAACCAUUUCCUAUGACAGUGCCUAGCUUUCCCUAUAUUAUUAUUAGCUCCAUUCUUGAACUAUUCAUAAUUCAAAUAAGUACUUGACCAAAGCUUGUGUUUAUUUAUGCUAUGCAUGUAGGUAGCAGCAGAAAGAUGAAACUCCAAAUCCAUGUUGUUUCUGCUACGGAAACAUGAGUUCAAUUUUAGGCAGCCUUCAUCUGUCUACUAAACCAUUCCUUUCUCAAUAAAAUACUCUACUAAACUCAAGUGCAACCUUCGUGUUUCUGUUUUUAAUGUUUCAUUUAUCAUUUGGUUGCCUAUUUCCAAUUAAGAGUUGUAUACUAUUUGCAGUGAUCUAUAUAUAUCACAAGGUAUCAUUCAUUUCCCUUUGACAACUAUUCAUGGACGAUUAUUCAUGCCAGAGACGACUGACGACAUUCAUGCAGAUUACUGGUCAAGUAGUUGUUUGAUGAACAAGAUCCGAGUAUUACCUGGAAACCAUCUGUGGAGGUGAUGUUAGAUGCAACAUCCAUUCGCAUGAUCCUUCGUGGUUGCAAAUGAAGAAUAUGAAACCUGCUCACAGGCAAUUGACGAACUCUAUUACUAACAAAAAUAUCAACAAAAGGAAAACUGAUGACUCUUCUUAUCGAGGGGCAAGAGUAGUUCUGAGUCACCAGAAACCUGUUGUCUUAGUCGUCUGUGGUCAAAAGGCAAUCUCCUGCGCUGCUGUCUCAGACCUUAUCAAAACAAUGUGAGGACAGUCGGUGGAGCUUCUCAUCUCUCUUCGCUCGGUUCAUUUCAUCACAUGGGCUCACCAAACCUUCUUUUCUGAAACAUAUCCUGAAAAGAAGAAAGAAAGCUAAUUCAUUGCAUUUGUUUUGCGGUGUCAUUAUCAGAAGUUUCCGGGUCAAAGGCCAUUAGUUUAUAAGCUUCUGCGGAAAAUUCAAAGGGUGGGUAAACAAUAAACUUCCAACUACAGCAGUGGAGAGUCAAACCAGAUGCACCCUUAUCUUAUGAGCGCACUUUGUCAACGAAGUUAAAUACGGCACUGGUUUAAGGAAUUCUAAGUGAAUUUGAUGUUCCGAUUUAUGCCACUUUGGUUUUGAUAUUCCACUUUAACCGAGCUGCUCUCAGUAUGGCUAAGGACAAGUUUACUUCUGUAGGAGAUGAUAGGGCUCCCAUCGUCCUUGUUCUAUCGACUAUUUAGCUUCCCACUCUCUCCUGGAGCGUGUGUAGUGUAGAACACAACUGUACUUCUCAUAAUACCAACAACCUCUCUGGGUCCUCUCACCCUGAGUUGUGAAGCAAGUCCCUGGUGGUGCUGGGGAGCGAGAGAACAGGGAGACGUGAUAUCAAGUAAGUACAACAGUGUGUAUAGGGAUAAAAGAAAGGAAGUUGUGGUAGCAAGAGACGGUACCUUUCCACACCACGUGCUUGCAGAAUCUUUCACAUCAUUGAGCACAAUAAAGGGAGGGGUGUCGACAUCCGGCGCUUGCCGCUUUCUUAUCCCAAUGUCCGGUUGCAUGCAUCUUCACGGCACCUGCACGGUAGAGGAGCGUUGGCCCAAUCUGCGCCUCCGACUCGCCAUCAACUCGCGCUUUGUCCUGUCCCUGUGGUGGGCCGCCAUCUCUGCUUCGGCUUUGUUGUGCUGACCUCUCGAACAGUUAUCGAACGUGUGUAGUUUAUCCGGAUCUGCGUUGGACUGAGAGAAAAAUCUUGGCAUGGCAGAUCCGAAGGUCUCGUUUCCUCGUGAAACAGCAGGUACAGCCACGGAUUCCAUUCGUUGCACGAAGGGAACAUAAUUGCAGUGAACCUGAAAGCAUGACGAUAAAUCUUUAAGUACGAUAGCGAAAAUUCAUAGAAUUAUUUGUGAUGUAACUAUGUAUCGGCUUGCAAAGACAGGUUUGAGAUACUUCAGACAAAUAAUUUUGCAUUGUCAGUGUGCACAAGGUUGAAAGGGUAAGACAGACAUCAUAAGUUAGGCCUUUUUGAUGCCAAGGCAACUCAUAUUACUAGUACUAUGUAUAGAAUGUCAACUGCAAAGCAAGUGGAUUACAGGUUAUAUCUGCAGCAGUUAAUUCUGAUUUGAGGUAGUAAAGGAGGUCUUGCGCAUGGGAGGCUCUACCACGUCUUUCUUGACAGUGUUCCUAUCAAUAAGUUAACCACAAAGUCGAAUCAGUCUUCACUUGAAGAAAAAAAGAGCAAUUAAUUUUUUCAAGUACUAACACUCACCAAUGAAGUUACUACCUUUACCCAUUUGGGAUCUCAAUAGUUGCGAUAUGACUAGAGCUUUCGAUUCUCAAUACACCAUAUGCACCACAAGGUCACUUUUUCCUGAGGAUGUUAUCGAAUACCAAAUACUGAAGAAAUAUCAUGCCGAGGCCCUCGCAGCUUAUGAUGGAUGAGACUUUGAACUACAAGGAACUAGCAUAUAGAUCCUAAAGGAAGUAUCAAGUACAAGAUGUGGCUAGUCAAAGCAAAGUUAAAGCCUUAAAGUAAUUCAAGCUCCAACAGAAAAAAAAAAAAAAAAAAAGUCUUUAUAAAGCUAUAUAUAAAUUCCAAGAAGAUAUAGCAGUCAUGUGUGCCAAAGUUGCACCACAAAUUCAACUCAAUGGCAUCCCUAUUUUGCCACUUUAGCUGACAAAGUAAAAUAGAAUGCAUAAAACAGUAUGCUAUACGAAAAGAUGUGCUUAAUCCUUACGAUGAUUGUCUAACACAAAGUGGAGGUGAUGGAGGAAAACUUUAUCUAUGGAGACAAACAUUUAAUGCAUAAUGGCCUUUCUUUAAUAUUUAGGCAUAUCGGUCUCUUCAGAAUCCUAAUGAUACCUAUGAAUUUCACUGCUUGUUUCUGUUUUGCUCUUAGAUAUCUUCACAGAUAAUAUGACAACAUGACUCUCUGUAUACCAUCACUAAACGAUUUAUGGCAUCAAAUACAGAAAGUUCCACAUAAGAGCUUUUAAGGACCAGCUUAUUAGACACUUCUUUGGACACAGAUGCAUCUCAUGUGGUCAUCUUGGACAAAUGUCAUUUAUCAUGAGAAAUACCAUUUUCGAAUGUUCUUUACCCUUCCGUGACCAUAUUCCGUUUUGUUUGAAGAUCCUGCAACUUGUUUUGUACAUGUCUUUUCAGAAGAUCCAAUUGCCUGUCAAAAAUAUGAUUAAUAAACAUCCAUACAGAAACUAGGUAGAAUGCGCUAUCGGCGAUUAAUGAGUAUUUGCACAAAAAAUCACAAAAGCAAAUAAAGAAAAAGGAAGCAUGGCGCUCAACACCAGCAUCUGUACCGAGCACAUCAAACUUAUUUACAGUCACUAACUCAGUGAUAUCAAAAGCAAAGUUGACUGAAAAACAUCAAAGGGCAAAAAGAUUGUCGUUGUAGAACUUAUAAAUAUGUGAUUCAAAACAUGUGUGGUCACAACAAAUAAAUUUAUCCGUAUGCAACUUUAUCCAUGCAGCAGUCUUUUCACCCUAUGCAUUUAUGAAUAUUGGUUGAAAUAAAAAGUGAGACUCAUAUGAAAACAAGAAGUGACUCCCAGCAUAACCGAGUCCAUCCCCAGUCGAUAAACCAUGUGAUGAUUCAAAACAAUAUGUACAGAUAAUUAAUUCCAUGGAACCCACACCAAAAAUAGUGCAGCACAUGAGAUGGGGAUGGGAAACUAACCUAAACAUUUCAUUGGCUAGUCCACGUUCAUAGAAUGAGCUGAUUCCGAUGGAAAUACAAACCUCAACCAAUCGCAGUCAACAAACAGACUCGGAAUCGGCAAGCGAUCGGUUAAGAGAUUCGGAAACAUUUUACAGAGAGCUGCUGCAGCUCCCGUCUUCACAUUUUUCUUUUUGCAGGUCAGAUUUCUAAUUGUUGCACCAAAGACUUAACAGGCUGUCUCUGCUACCUGUUUUAUCUAUUUUAUAAAGGACCCACAUGGUAAUUCUUUAGAGUCAUUCGAGUCACUCUACUACUUUUUUUUUUUCACUUCGCACUCCACCUUCCAUCCUUGCCAUGUUCAGACUUUUCCACAAUAGCCAUCUUAUUUUCUUGCUAUCCCAGAUUUCUGCCAUCAAUUCCUUAGAUCUAGUUUUCUGACUUCCUUCUGUAACCUAAGUCUAGUGAGACCAUCUCCAAUUCCAUUUUUUUUGUAUAAAGAUCACAGUUCACGGAUUCUAGUGAAAUAAUUAAGCCAGAAUGUGUUAGAAUUUUAAUAUACUUGCCCCCUGUUAUAAGUAUCAUAUCAAGAAUAUUUAAGAGAAUAUUCAUGUCUGUUAUUAGGGUUUGAAAGAUUCAGGCAGCAUAUAUCGGGUUUGAUACAUAACUUAAGAAUCUUAAUCUUUUGGAUUAAAUUAUUGUUCAAUUUCAUGUAUAUUAACAUUGGCUAGUUUGACUUUAGAUUCAUUGUUAAGUUCAAUAUGAUAUCAAAAUUCAAAGCCAAGAUCCUCAAAGGAAAAAUAAGUGAGUAAAAAAAAGAAAGCUAGAUGUUGACCACAGUCAAGUAAAAAAUGAGAACAUGUCUAAUCGCUCUUUGAUAUAUUCUUAUGAAUAAAGGAAAGAUGUUAAAAGAAUAUUUAUGUAUGAGGUGAAGAUUAAAAGGACUAGAAUUGCCUUGCAUAAUUAAGGAUUAAAAAAGCUGUAUGAUAUAUUAGGUUUGGCACAUAGAGUUAAAAAAACUGAAUGAUUUCUAUGAAACUAUAAUAACUAAUAGAGUUAUGUCAUCUCAGAAUUUGUAAGUGGUCUAUGAUCACUUCAAUUAAUCAAAAAGUUAAUUGCUUUGCUGUAUAACCAAAAAGGGAGAUAGGGAAAUUUGCUCAAAACAUAAGAAAGAUGUAACAAUGUAAUUGACAAUAGAAUAGCAGAAGUAAAAUGUUGAUCACCUCUUACGUUGAGUUUCCUUCCUUUUUAAGCUCAUGUUUGCAGAAUGACCUCAGGAGCCUGGAGACUGAUCAACAGCUAAUCCAUCAAAAGAAUACUCUUCACGAAUGAAUUCAUUAGCAUGGGUCCUUUGCUUUCUCAUACCUGCUGCAGAAUUGUUACCAUUCAUCGAAGACACAUUCUCCCCGAGCAUUAGAAUCAGCAUGGAUGCAGAGAUAACUUGAGAAUCAAGUUUGACAUUAGAGAAGAUAAAAGAAUGAACUUAACCUGACAUGGCUAGCUUGUUUCCCCCAAACAUUUGUUAUUGGGCUGUUAUGCCACCAUUGGAAUUGUUCUGUGAACUGAGCAGAAAUCCCCAAAGCUCCUCAAGAACUUCUUUUCCAGAAAUCCCGUGAGUUGGAUCUGAAUCUGUUUCCCAUCCACCACCUGCAUAACAACUUAAAACUAAGCAUCUGCAUUCUGCACAACUGUGAUAUACUUAAAAGCAUAGACAACGAGAAGUCCAUAAACGAAAGCCAAUGAGGGCUUCAUCCUCAAACCCAAGAAGGUCGCCCUACUCGCAAUCCUUGGCCUUAUCACAGUAAAUCCAUUAAAGACCGAAUCGGUUCCUUCGAUCGCGAGAAAGAGGAUUUCGCUUACCAGGAACAGGAAGAAGCCGCCCGACGUCUUCUUCCCCUUCCUCUAGGGAUUCGAUGCGAGGGCCACGAGCGGGUGCGAGAGCGCAGGCGGCAAAGAUGGUUUCGAAACGCAGAGAUCGCGCAUUUAUAGUUGGGCUCGCGCGGGGAACAUCGCCGUGUAUUGGGCCUCACAUUUGGCCCACUAGUGGAUUCAACAGGCCAAGAUAAUGGGCUGAUCCGUAGAAGUAAAUAAGCCCAUCGGUAUCUCCUGAGGACCUCAUAGUAUAAGAAUACGACUCUUCCAUGUAUUUGGCAUUACUGUCACUCGGGUUGGCUAUUCGACCAAUAAUAGAUUCGAAUUAAGUAAUAAUAAUAAUCAUAUAUGCCCAUGUUUUUGGACAUAUGGUGACUUAUUUUAUGACAUAAAAUAGAAAAAAAAUGAAAUCAUAUUAUUGGUGAUGAGAUAUUGAUCGAAAAAGAAGAAUUCAUCAUCCGUAAUGAUCUUAUAAUUGCAUAUCUAAGAGUUCAUAUAAUAGGACAGAUGAUCAUAAAAAUUGAAAGAGUAUCCUGAGAAUCAUGGUUGGAGAUAAGGUGAUGAUCAAAGUUAAUUACGCGUCAAAUUUGAAUAUUUCGGAGUCAUUCUUUAAUAUGGUACUAGGGUGUCAAUCACAUAUUGUUAAAUCGUCGAUCCGAAGGUGUAUACCACAUGUUACUGAGGUAUCGACUAUAUAUUGCUGAGUGUCGAUUUUUUUAUUUCUAAUGGUUAUUUCAUUUUAUUUUCAUUCUUAAGUUUAUAAUAGUAUAAGACAGCUUUCUAGAUACUCCUCACUUGCUCCUUUCAUUGCUUUCAACUGCAAUCUUCAUAGUGGAUGAAAGGAUAAGUCCAGUUUAGAAGAAGCUCUUCGUGUUGUAGUGGCUAAGUGUGGUUUGGUAGUUCAGACAGCAGGAGCAAAAGUAGAGUAUGUUGUGCACCUUCUUGUUGAUUUGCAUGUCCUUCUCAAUUGUUUUUAGCUUAGCUUAUCAUCCACCCACUGUUACUGAGCCAGAUUGAUUUUGAAGUCCCAACUCUUAUCUGGAAAGCUUCGAUAGAAGAACCUUAAAACAAAAGCUUUCUGGGGAGGAAGAUGGAGAAAAAUUGUUAGGACCUUUUGUGCCAUUUCGUUUGCUGACCACACAGAUUUCUUGCAAGAAUUCCUGGCUCUCAUUUCUUCCUCAGGCUUAUCUAUCAUCUGCAGCUUCUUGACCAAGUAAGAGAAGACAAAGUUUUGGUGUCUUGUGAUUCUGAGGAUUCUAAUUGGUAGUAAGGCAACCAAUCAAAUUUUGUGUUGCCACAGUCCUGCAAUAAUGACAAUUGUUUUGCUGUCAUGGCCUUCCGAAAUAUUUUGCACUCCAUUCAAUUCUUUCGGGAUGAAAAGGAUGCACAAGAAAACAUAGGGCCUCUGUUUUCUUAAUGCUUUCUCUCUGCAUUUUAUCUGGUGAUGAGCACCCAAAGAACAUCGGGUGGCAAAGAAGACAUCGGCGCUCACAGCCACACUCCGCUCUCUUCCUCCACCGAAGCCACACGCAUCUGAAUGUUCUGAUCCGGACGCUGCUCACGUAACACUGUGUUAUCGGCUGCGGCGGCGACGCGUGUCCCGACCCUAAUCUCGAGCCUGUGGCUCUUACAGUCCAUCAAGACGAUCCACAGGAUCAUCAUGAGGAAGAAAGAGCUCGGAGAUUGCACUCCACACCAUGGUUCAGUCCACAGCCUCCCCAUAUAAAAUUGCUCCCACUUCCAACAAGUUUGGCAUUCGAGUGGUGCGGCUCGUCUUCCUCGAUCUCCGUCCGUCGAAGCUUUUCGGCUAUCUGUCUCGCUCUCUCCCUCGGCUUCCAGAUGGCUGCCGCUGUCUCCACCGUGGGAGCCGUCAACAGAGUGCCGGUACUGCUGUCUUCCGCCCACCUUUCUCUUCGUCCUUGUCGAGAAUUCUCGGUUAUGUAGAUCUGUUUCUUGCUCCAGUUGAGCCUGCAUGGCUCUAGUUCGGGAGCCCCGGUGCCGAGCUCGGCUUUCUUCGGGAGCAGCCUGAAGAAAGUGAACUCCGGUCCGAGCCAUGGGAGGAACUCCACCGCCACUUUCAAGGUCUUGGCUGCUGAUCUCGAUGAGUCGAAGCAGACUUCCAAGGACAAAUGGUCAGGGCUUGCCUACGACGUCUCCGACGACCAGCAGGACAUCACCAGGGGAAAGGGCCUCGUCGACUCGCUCUUCCAAGCUCCCAUGGGCGACGGCACUCACAUCCCCGUCAUGACCUCCUACGAGUACAUCAGCCAGGGUCUUCGCCAGUAAGGAACCAUUCGAUAUCUUGAUCUAUCAUAGCUUUCAGCCUUCUUCCUCGUCGGUAUCCACUGAACCGUUUGGUCUCAGAUACAACCUCGACAACACCAAGGACGGCUUCUACAUAGCUCCGGCUUUCAUGGACAAGCUUGUCGUGCACAUCACCAAGAACUUCAUGGCCCUCCCGAACAUCAAGGUAAUCCCAUCCUACCUCAUCUCAUGCGGUCGCUGCCAUUGAUUUCUGGUUGAUGUGGAUUCUAACUGGGCGGUGACAGGUUCCCCUCAUCUUGGGUGUCUGGGGAGGCAAAGGCCAAGGGAAGUCAUUCCAAUGUGAGCUCGUGUUCGCCAAGAUGGGGAUCAAGUGAGUGCUUCCUUGAGUUCAUGACAUGUUGUUACGGCUCAGAGGUCUUUGGUGUCUCUCGUUCAUGCUCCGUGUCGAACACUUGGCAGCCCUAUCAUGAUGAGCGCCGGAGAACUGGAAAGCGGCAACGCAGGUGAGCCAGCGAAGCUGAUCAGGCAGCGGUACCGUGAGGCAGCAGACAUCAUCAAGAAGGGGAAGAUGUGUUGCCUCUUCAUCAACGACCUCGACGCAGGAGCGGGAAGGCUCGGCGGCACCACCCAAUACACCGUCAACAACCAGAUGGUGAACGCCACGCUGAUGAACAUCGCCGACAACCCGACCAACGUGCAGCUCCCGGGAAUGUACAACAAGCAGGAGAACCCUCGCGUUCCCAUCAUCGUCACCGGCAACGACUUCUCCACUCUCUACGCGCCUCUCAUUCGUGACGGCCGUAUGGAGAAGUUCUACUGGGCGCCGACCAGAGAUGACCGCAUCGGCGUCUGCACGGGCAUCUUCAGGACCGACAACGUCCCCACGGAGGACAUCGUCAAGCUCGUAGACUCCUUCCCGGGGCAGUCCAUCGGUAAGCUUCCCAAAAACACAAGAUUCACAUGAUCUGUCACCGACUCAUCCGAUCGCAUGUAUCUCCAUGGCCAACGUGCAGACUUCUUUGGUGCUCUUCGGGCCAGGGUCUACGAUGACGAAGUGAGGAAGUGGGUGGGAGACAUUGGAGUGGACAAGGUUGGAAAGAAGCUGGUCAACUCGCUCGAAGGGCCACCAACCUUUGAGCAGCCCAAGAUGAGCUUGGAUACGCUGAUGGAGUAUGGCAACAUGCUGGUGAAGGAACAGGAGAACGUGAAGAGGGUGCAGCUGGCCGACAAGUACCUGAGCGAGGCUGCGCUCGGAGACGCCAACGCAGAUGCCAUGAAGACUGGCUCUUUCUACCAGUAACUCCAUGAUGGUUGCAGGCAAAGCAGCCCAUCCGUCUCUUACGAUCCUCGAUGAACGCAGAGCUGCAUGCAUAAAUUCCAGGCUUGUAGUUUGUGUGGAUAAGUGGGCGAAUAUUAUUAUCAGCCUCUGUAUCGGUGAUACAUAUAUUAUGUGCAUUUUCCUCAGUUUUGGAAGGCCUAUUUGUUUGUGAUCUCCCAAGUCAAUUUUACUUCGAAGCACAAAUCUCAAAGAAAGACACAUCGGAGAAGCACACAUCUCAAAGAAGCAUCCGAAUUUGUACUGGGCCUUAAUGACAAUAACGUCGGCCCAUGACCCGGCUCGGGAUCUGACCCGGCGGUUCAGCACCCCAUUCGGAAAUUUAGGUCCAGGCCGGUCGAUGAUCGCGUCGGCUAUAACGAUCGCGUCGGUCGCCGAAGAUGGAUGCCUUCGCGAGACUCAGGUUCGGUUUCUCUCCGCUCUGGCUCAUCUUUCUCCCUUCUCGUGCUUGCCGUGUUCAUGUUUCUAGGGUUUGCUUCGCCCGAUCGUGCGCUAGGGUUUCGUGGUGUCUUUGUGGGGAGUCUGUCGGUCAAUUUCUCGUCGUUGUGACGGAUCAAACGAAUGGAAUGAUUAGGUUUAGCAACCUUUUGGCUUCGGAUCGUGUUGUGUCUGCUAAAUGUAAUAUGCUUAUUCACUCUAUCGAGUAAUUGAUGAUGGUAGUGUUAGAUCGUUGAAACCUUCACCUGUAAAUGUACACGGAUAUUAGGAUAUUGAUUAGGGUAUGUUGUUUAUAGUUGAAUCUUUAUUAGAGUUUAUAUGGAAUUUCAAUAGAAUUCAGAGAUUCUUUGAAUUCUUCAAAGAGGAUUGUUCUGGUUUGGCAAACUGCAGCCUUCUAUAGAAGCUUCAGCUGAAAUUUAUCAGUGAUUUUAUCAACUACGAUAAAAGCCUAUCUUCUUAAGUAUUGAAUUAGCUGUAUUGGAAACCAUGUUGUGAGUGCUAAAAACUUUGAGUUGCUCAUAUGGUUUAAUCAUGUUAAAGUGUCCCCAUUCAUGUACUCAUGCUGGAUGCUGAAUAAGUUACAGAACUAAGCGAAUAUGCUCAAGAAAAACACUAGAGGUACUCUUCUUUGUUCAACAAAGAUUGUUCUAUACAUCAGCUUUGAUGUCAAUGGGUUGGACCAUUUGCCAGUCUUGUAUGUAGUUAUUUCUUCUGUCGCAUCGUAUGCUUAACUGAUUUAAACGGAGAGAAUUUAACUAAUACCUUUUUAUGAUAUUCUUGUAUCACCACCUUGAUGGGCAAUGCUCUCAUUUUUUAUUCCUGGAGCUUAAACGGUCUGAUGUCCUAGACCAAGUUUGGCUUGAAUGCCAAACCUAUAACAGGAUUUGAUGAAUAUUUGGUGCCUAGAACCUAUAGUUUUAACCGUCAGACAAUCUUCUAAACAAAUGACUGUUCACCUAUUUGGCAAUUGACUCGACACUAUGCAAGUGAUUACUUCAGGUGGAGUGGUGUCGCAUAUCUCAAUGAAAAAUACUUAGAAAGUUAGAAAUAUGGUUAUUCUAUAGAUUUCAAGCUGUUGUUGUCUUCAGCUAAGCCGUGUAAACCCAUCAUCUUGACGCUUGUCAGACAUCGAAGCUUCUGAAGAUGCAUACAAUCAAUUCUAUCAUUUUAAAGAUGCAUAGGCAUAUUAUAAAAUGAGGCGAGGCAAACUCAUGACUCGUCUAAACUCUAUGCUGAGAACUAUGAAGUGAGAAAGAGAAUUACUGUACUAAGAAAGCUUGCAAAGGAUGAUCUUGUAAGCAAUAGCUCUUAGGCUCAAUCUUGCUAAAUGAACAAAUGUGCUACCACAGUUGGCGUGGUCUUACCCUCAUGAAAAUUUAAGACAUUUGUAUAUGAUGAUACCCUGCUACGGAUGCUUCGUGCUCAUUGAUAUACUGCAUAUCUACCUCCUCAGCUUGUGUAUGCUCGAAGUGCCCUUCCAUCUGUUUCGAUGCAUUUCGAUGAAAACUUCCACCACUUUGGAGUCUAAACAGUCACUUAAUAUGUUGUGAAUGUACGCACUUGUGCAAUUUUCCUACCUGAGCGAGGAUCAGCAAGUGGUAAGGGCUCUUCCUUUGCCAUUAAAGAAGAAACUGGUUCCUUCCUGUUUGAUGCAAUGCCAACAUCAGCAAAGCUAUGCCUAACAUUCCUUGGGGUUACUGCAUCGGUGAUGACAUCACGGAGUGCUUUGUCUUCCUCCCUGGGCUCCAGCUUUUGCAUCAGAUACUCUUUCAUUGAGACUCCCUUAUCCCAUACUUGCUUUGCAGUAGUCUCAUACCUUGGCCCUGAUUCUUGGAUCUUGGAGCUUAGUGCUUGGGUUGCCUUUGAAAUCAUGGUGUAGACCGGAGCAAGCGUCUCCGUUACCGUCUCGCUCAGGGUCUUGUCAUUGUCACCACCAUUGCUGACCGGUGGUUGAGGUAAGUACUUAUCCUUCACCAUUGUCUUGUCAUUGGUUGGAGUUAUCACCGUUGUUUCUGGUGGUGCAGGUAUAACCUUUACGUCACCACCAUGGUCCGAUGCUGGUUGCCUAUGCCCAUCAUUAGCUUGCUUCAUCUCUAUUUCUCUAUCAAAAGCGCUGAGCUGAGUGAUUGUUGAAUUUUCGCUGGGACUGGGGUAGUGAGUUGUUGACUGAUCAUCCGAAGCCGAAUCUUCAUAACUAUCAAGUGCCAUCUCUGGUUCGUACUCUGACGUCACAGGUAAGAAACAUCUGAUAUGCUUAGAUUAAGCCAUUAUGGUGAAUGAGCCAAACACUAAGUUCUCUUAGAUUUUGGUUUAAAUGGUGCAGGGUGUGGCUAAUUACUUGGGGCUCCAUGGUAAUUAGGAUCUUCCUCGUCUGCCUCGUCCAAGCUAACUCCCCAGGGCGGUGUGACACUAUUUUCUUUGCCUCCAUGUCUUUUCUUCACAAGCAUCUGCUUCCAUUUCUUUGCCUUCUCCUUCACCCUCACCAUGAUCGACUUCUUUGCCUGCUGUUGGUGGUGACUGAAAUCAUCCUCAUCGUUGUACAAGUUUACCAGUGUUGGUGUUGUCGGCGCCAACCAAUGUCCAUUUGGAGAUGAUUCACCUUCACAUACAUUGAAUUGCAAUGAUGUAGCAAAAUAAGAAGCAAACGUAGAGAUGAGCGGGGAACUAUCAUGUCAAGAUUUGAACCUUUCCGGGAGCGUAGAUUCUUGUUUGGAAUAAGCUGUUCUCGUUGAGGGUAGACCGGAUAUGAUCUGCUUCGUUCUGUUUGAGCCAUCUGCUGUCCUUCCUCUCUUUCUUCACCCUAUUGCUUCUGUUUCCUGGCUUCUCAGGAACAUGGAAAGGUCUCAGGAACUGGCUAAGGAAGCAUCAAGGGGAUUGCUCUGCAUUUAACCAGGGUGUGGUUGCAGAAGAUCACCAAGUUUGUAGCAGAUUUGAUGGUCGGGACGAGGUGCAACUUCUUGACCACCCUUUGCUGAGGCGCCUGUAAGAGUGCCAUAUGUGUGGGCCAUUGGAGACCUCGCAUGAGCUCAGCACCGUAUCAAAUUCGAAUAGGAGUUUGCCAUACGUGUAAGCUCGUAUAAAUCGUGUAUGUGUUGAAUAGGAGUUUUUCCCUUUUCUUGUGGGAGAUCUUUGAUUGAAGUUGUGCAUUUUAUUGGUCUUCUAAGGCACGACAUGUUGAUGGACUAUUUACGAGAGAUGAAAAAAAAAAUUAUACCUCCUCAAAAGAGGGGAAAAUUCUAUUAUCGAGAAAGAAAAAGACAUUGAAAAUUGUAUUGUUAUUUAUUAUCAUUGCAUGAUGGAACAUAUUAAGAAAGUAUGAAAAAAGAAAUUCUCAUCGUAUCUCUUUUAAAUAUUGGUUCAUUUGCCAAAGUUAGAUCCUCAAGGAAUCAUCCAUUGAAUUUACCGAUUGGGUUUAGGAUUCAGGUAGAGUAGAAUAGCGGUAUGGUAGUCCGUUGAACUCCAUAAUUAGGGAGUAAGGUGCUUCCUCAAUCAAUGAUUCGAAAGGCCUUGGAAGCCCUUGAGAUGUUGGUAUUGCAUCAAGUGGGAGGACCCCAAUGGGUGCUGGUGCCUAUGGCGAUUGAGCUACUGAUCGCAGCUGAGAUGGUGGCAUCACCUAUUAUGAUAGUUGGGGCAAGAGUGGAGCAACACCUUGCAUUAUGUCCAUUAGCGUUUGCACAUGUUGGGUAAGGUUCAGAAACGCUUUGAUAGGGAUGAGCAAGUAGCUCAAGGUCAUCAUGAGAACGAGAGACCCAGGUAGUUGAACAAACGCUAAUAUCGCAUCGACAUUUGUACCAAUGUGGAUUCAUCCACGUGCGAAAAGAGUGGUUGCUAUCCUUUGAGUGAAAAUAUUGUGAGUCGAAGGCAUGGCCUUCUCGAUAUUCGUUUAUUGAAAGAGUCGAUAGGUAAAUGCUCCUGUAACAUCAGACUUUUCUUCUAGUAUCAAAAUAAUAAAAAAAUAUAUUAUUGACGUCUUAAUCAACUCGACAUGGUUCGGACUCACAUGCAGGGUUGUUCGAAGUGCCUCCACGAUGAAAAUAUCGAGUUUGCAAAGUGCCACCUGAAUGAAGAUCGAAGUCUAUGGAGGUUUCUCAACUCGAUCCCUUCGACGCCCAAAUUAAUAAUAUGAAGUAUGUGAAUACAAAUGUAGGUGAUAAAAAAAAAAGUCCUUGCUUAUUGUGUUAAAGAUGUCAUUUUAUACAUGAUUGUAAUAAGGUAAAAUAUUUUGUAAAGUAUUUCGCACGAGGGCAAAGAAUACUCUUUUAGAAUAUUCUUCGAACUUUUAUCCACGAGCAAACGAAUGGAAGAUGACCAGGACUCCAUGUGAUGAUUAGUUAAUAGAUUAUUUCAUAAGAUAUGAUAAUUAUAAAUACAACUCAAAAAGUUAAGCCUUAAUCUAAUAAACUUAUUUGAUGCUAAUUGCAUAAAUUAUAUUGCACGAGAAUGCAUAUAACCCUAUGCUUUCCUAAGGUUAAAUUUAAAACCAAAAAAUGCUAACUCAAAAAGAACAUGUCAAGAAUGGGAUUCGAACCCAUGCCCUUUCGGACCAGUACCUGAAACUGGCGCCUUAGACCAACUCGGCCAUCUUGACCCGGAUGAAAAUGAAGCAUCUCAAAUUAUAAUAUUGUAUAAAUAUUUCUGUCAUUAACGCCACAUUUCAGCGGACCGAGAAACAGGAAGCUAAGUCUGCCUAAUGAUGAGAGAAUGUAAUGCUCUUUUACUAUGCGGUGGACCAACCCAUGCUCGACCAAUCCUAAUUUGACAUUGCUAGCUGAGAGAUUAACGCAUUCAUCUUCACCUUUCAUUCUUCCCACCUCAAAUAAACGAUCCCAAUCAUAACAGAAAGCACGGUGUCUCAUGUAAUGCGAAGGCUCUUAACAGCAGAGGCCGCCGCAUGGAAGUAAUUACGAUGCAAAUCCUGGAUUUGACGUGAUCGAGGAGGAAAGCCAUGGGUUUUGUGGAACCUUACUACUAAUUAAUGUGGAGGUGAGGAGUGUUGCCAAAGGAUUUUUUUUUUUUUUUUUGGGCCCCUCAGCAUUAUUACAAUUUCGAAAGUUACAGAUCUAUGAGGUUAGGAGGAAUAAUAAGAGUCAUUGGUUUAGCAUUUUUUUGUUUUUUAACGACCUAUCUAGGCAAUACUUAACUGAACGUAAACCCACAUCCAACUCAAUGUGUAGUGUAAUAAAAUUUAAAAUAAAAUAUAUUCCAAUGUUAUAUAUAUAUAUAAUUAAAGAAAAAAGUUCACAUGUUAUGCUAUUAAAAGAACAAAAAAGCAUCUUUGAUAAAUAAUAUUUAAAAAAAUCAUACUUAGAGGGUCUAUAUAGUGGAUCAAGAAGAUCUAAUUUUUUAUAACUAUGAUUUUGAAAUUAAUGAAAAGCUCCAAGUCAGAAAAACAUACAUCAAAAUUAACAUGAAAAAUCUAAGCUUGUUAAUCAAAUCGACUGUAUCUCAUCCUACUCUUUUAAACUUUGUAUACGUGAGACUAUUCCCUUAAAUCUUUUUCAAUUUCUGUCUCUCAUACAAAUGAAUAUUUGCGUUAACUAUCUUUUAUUUAUAAGGUUAAGGUAAACUAUAGAUCUAUUUUUCUUCUUCACUCACUCGAGUACGAUCAACAUUUCACUAGUUCAUAUUCUUUAACCUUGGUUCAGAUAGCAUGUUGAAAUUAAUCGUGAGUUAACAUCAAAGUAGUUCAAGUUUUUCUCUUAAUAUUUUUAAGCUCUAGAUUUCUAACAUUCUUUUGUUUCUUUUUCAUGAACAAACGUACGAUAAAACCUUUCACGAACAACACCCAUUAUUACUCAGCUUGAUUAGGUUCCUCUCUCUCCCUUCUUUAGUACUCUUUCUUAACAAGAGUUGAAAAGCUCAGUUCUCGUCUCCUAUCAAUCUUAACCGAUCUAAGAUUCCUCCGCUUAGACACUGUUGGCAGGAAGAUGGAUUAUAUUGGCAUCUAACAACUGUGGACAUGGUGGUUUCUCCAUAUUUGUUCUACUUUGUGGCUCUAUAUUUCCAUGACCUGCAUUAUCUAAUCUUGACAGCAAUGUUUCUCUGGAUGUGUAGCAAAUACCAUGUGAGAUUGGAACGAGCAUCAACGGUUGCACAUCACUGUAUUUUAUUCACACAAGAAGAGAAGUAUGGGGAAGAGAGCGGAAUAACUCCAUGGAGGCCUCUCUUCAUAGCCCAACUGCGUAUAACUCCAUCUAUGGCUUCCCGCAACGUAACUCGUUGAGUGCAUGCAACAAACAAGUGAUAUGCAAUGCCGUCACAACACCCGCUCUCUUCCAUCAGCAAACUCUAUCGAUCCAUUCGAUGAUAUCAAGAAGAAAGAAGCAAGAGUCAAUAACAGCGAAGCAUAUGGAUCCUAAAUGACUCUGCUGAGCAGCCGUGAGCUCACUGCUCAUUGCAAAGUGCAGUGAAGCUGUGAGCUCACAGAUCCUUACGUAAAACGUAUACACAAAAGAGAAGAAACCUACUACUAUUUAACUGUGUACUUCUUCUGUCAGUGGUAGUCUCGCCAGCAAACGAGCAUCGUGACACAGCGGCGCAUGAUGUAUAACCUCGCCCUCUGCUCCUUCACUUGGUUGGCACACCGGCUGGAGAAGGACCGCGACGUCUUUAUCGUCGUCGUCCUCCGCCGGCCUUCCCUUGUGCUCGCCGACCGUUUCAAGAACGGCCCUCCUUCCUCCUCCGCAGCCGCCACCACUCUUCUGCCCCCGCUGCAGCUGUUCCUAAUCUCCUUAUUCGCCACCUUCCACUUCUCGUCCAUGUAGAUCUCGACUUCCUCUCCCACCACGUCUACUAUUUCCGAUGGGGCAACUAAGGGUAUAUAUAAAGGGAAGGAGGAAAUUGGUGUGGAUUCGUGGUGGGCAAUGGGCAUCACCACCUGGGGUAUCACAUUUUUAUUCACCAAAGAAAAAUCUAAAUAUAUCACCUCAAUACUCUAAUACAAACUGUGCUUUUGACAUCAGCACAGAGAAAAAACAAAGAUUUCACUCACUCGCCUCCUAAAAUUCAGAAAAUCUAAUUGACCUUUAGUGCAUACAAAAAUGUGAUAACUUGGAUUCAGAGAAAAGGAAUAAACUAUCAUGUUUAAGAUCUUGCAGCAUCCACUUCUAACUAGGACCUUAAUUUGGAAGCACAAUGCUAGUAGCCUAUGAACUGUCCGGCUACAGCUUUCAAGAUGCGUACAUUUUGUUAAUAAUAUAUAUUCUAUGUAAAUAGAGCUUUUAUAUAUAUAUAUAUGAAUCAUCAUGCACAGAGGUUUACUGCGAUGUGUUCAAGGAUAAAGAUUCCUCCCAAGGUUGACCGGUCAAUGUUGGGAACCUUCUCACGCAAAUGCAUGAACAUAAACAGGAGAGAUGAGAUUCCAAAGUUAAUGCAGCCAUGUGAGAUUUAGGCUGGUCUGAAUCAUGCACUCUGUCAGUGCCUGUAUGGAAUCUUUGAUUGCUUCCAUAUGCUUAGAAGUUACGAGUUCCCUGAACCAUUAUUGAGGCACAAGGUUUGAACCUCAGAAUCUAGCUAUCAUGCAUGUACUUUGGGAAGGUAAUAUAACGGCAAACUAGGUUAUAGAUCAUACAAAACUUAACAAAUGUGAUUGUACCUGAUAAAGGGUGGCCUUCUCUACCUUAAUUUUUUGGUAUAUUUGCGUAUUAAAUUUGAAUUCUUAUGGACAUAUUUCUCUAUGGAAGAAAGCUCUUUUCCGACUUUAAGCAUAUAAAGAAAUAUUUGGUUUCUACAUUGUUGAACCAAAUUUCAUCACUUAAAUAGUCACAUUUUUCAAACUUGGAAUAUCUUAGAAUGCUAUUGUUUGUUUUUUUUGGUCUUUUUCAUUUAGAACUCCUUUGAGAUUCACUAAAGCUACAAUAGCUAAGUAUCUUUUAAAAAAUUGAAAUGAUAAUAAGAAUUAUUUUUCCAUCUCGCCCUUUCAUUGUCAGCUUGUCAUAAGGUUUGAACCCCUCUAAAAGUGUUAUCAUGAAGCAUUUGUUGGCUCCUCUGUGAGUUGCAAGAAGCAUGAAGCAUGUUAAAUGCAUGCCCUAAUACAACUAGGCAUAGUCAGGACAUGAACUCUUUGAGCCACAACAUGUAUAAGCGAAGGGCUUCAUAUUUUAUGACUGCUUUGCAUGUGGCGGCCACGAUGCACAACCUCAAAGCCAGUCAAAUCUAAUCAAUUAUAUCAAUUACUUUGGUCCUUAGAUCAAGUUGUAGUUCUUAAACAAUGCAAACACAUCGCCCUCGGGGAAGUUGCUUGCUCUUCAAACAAAAAUCAUUUUCUAUCUUCCAUUUUUCUUACUCUAGAUUUUGACCUGCCAGAACCAUUGCAACACUUGUCUUGGGCCGAUAGGGUUGAUGGCCAUGUGGGCUUGGCUUAUGCAAUGGGCUUACAGACUCCAGGUUGACACAAAGAGCCUCUUUUUUACCUUACAAACCUGAACAAGUCUUAUACAGGCAAAAAACCAAAUAAGUAAUAUGCAACUAAAAGCUUUUUGUUGUAUAGGUAAUCAUAAUGGACAUGCAAUUUUCAGAACUUUGGGGUAUAAUUGGGGGGAUAGACUUACGACAAUUAGGCUCGUUUUAAUAAAGCAGUAAUUUUUUUUAGAUUACCCAUCGGAAAUGUGAGACUAGCAAACAUGAUUUGGUUAAAAUUGGGUUGAUUCAAAUAGUAAAUGAUCAUCAAACGAAGUGCGGGUCUUUACCUUUCGUGAAUUCUAAGGGGAAUUAGAAACGAGAGCAGCAGAUCGAAUAAAAGAAUAUGCACACAACGAAUUCUCAACUGAAGGCGACGAAACGACAAACCCUAAAAUCCAAAAGGAGGAGAAGGAACUGACCUCGAUUCGCUAGGGCUUCCUCCACGAAGGAGCGGAUCGAGUGGAGGGAGUGGCGCGGCCGGCCUUCUCCGGCUGGAUCUGGAUUUCACGGUGCAGCUCCGCCAUCCGGCCGUCCAUGGCUUCCUACGGUCCUCGCGCAGCAUUGCUUCGCCAACGAAAGACCACUUUGGAGAGUGUUUGCCGCUUUAAAUUCGAGCCACGCCUCCCGGGAAACCCAAACAUUUAAUGGAGCAGGUCGCAAACGGAUCUUAUUAGUGUGAUCCGCAUCCGAGUUCCCCAUUCCCAUUGGAGUGCUCUACUAUUGCAAUUCUUAGAUAUUAAAUGUGAUGUGGGAUUAUUAGUCAUUGAUAUUUUUAUAAUAUAAUAAUAAUAAAGAAAAUAAUAAUAAUAAUAAUAUGAUAAUAAAAACUUUAAUAUCUAAAAUAAAAAAUGACAUUUAAAAUAACACUUUAAUUUCAUUUAAAUAUAUCAUUUAAAUGAAAUUAAACUUACUAUUAUAGAAUCAAUAAGAAAUAUAUCAUUUAAAAUAAAAAAAACUUAAUUCAUUGAUUCUUUUUUAUUAUCUUAUUACAAUCCUUUGAUCUUUUUUAUAUAUUUUAAAUACAGAAGAAAAAAUAAUAAAAAUACUAUCAUAUCAGAGCUAAGCAAAUAAAUUAUUUUAACCUUCAUCUUGUUAAGUAAUUUUUUUAUAUAUUUAUUUUUACCAUAAUCAAUUUAAAAAAUAAAAUGAGGAAUAAUCCUGAUGUUGGCAUAUGACAACUUACAAAUUUUGUAGAAUUUUCUAAAAUAAUAAGAAACAUAUGAAACUGUCGGAUAUAUCUCAACUUCACUCAUCUUUCAUUACUACAUGACAUAUCUGUAGAAACCUAAACAUCCAUGUGUUCUACCAGAUAUUAAACAUAUAUAUGAAACCAUGGACCAUGAAAGAUAUCAUUUGGAAGCUUCUAAGGAAAUAUUUAGUCCCUUGUACCUCAACACUAAUCUUGCAAACAGUCUCAGCAUAUCAGAUUUACAUCUAGCACAGCACAAUGAUGUAAGAAUGGAAAGGAAUUUCUUGUUUCCAUACACAAUCAUAAACAUCUCAUAGGUUACUUUCCGUAGAUUAUGAUAAUUAGAAGUUGAAACCAACAGGAAAGCCUCUGAAAUAGUUACAUGCACAAUGUUGAAUCAUACAAAGAAUAGAUUUGUCCAGUGUCACGUGAUUUACAAAACAAGAACAUCAGAGAUUAAAACGUUUUACGAUCUGCAUCGCUUUCAAUGAUUAGCUUAGGUCUGUUGAACCAGGUAUACUCGACCAUAAACCCAGCGCUUACCAGGUACCGUGAAGGAUUGCUGCAUUAUAAAAAAACCAAAAUUACAAAGAAUCAACAAUUGAAAAUGAUAAUUUUAAUCGUCAUGGAUCGCAACUAAUGAAAGUCUAGAAAAUGGAUUUGGAUGGUAUCUAAUGCUCUUCCGACAUCGCAGUAUCUGUUGAUGAUCAGAUUAUCGCAUGACCAUCAUUCUUAAAAAAGAAAUGUAUCAUCGAGGAAACAUAAAACAAACUGUGUUGUAAAUAUAUAUUAUUGAUCUCCAAGCAAAAUGUUCAGUUCCAAUAACUCCCUAAUUACACAUGCCAGAGCGUAAACUUUCAAAAAACAUUACCAUUACAAAACUUAGUAGUAAAUCUUCAGCUAAUCAGAAGCUUGAUAUUCUGUAUCAAAAUCUAAAAUUAGAUGACCAGAUAAUCUUAUAUGAAAUGUUGCAAUAACAUGAAUUUGAGAAUCAGAUUCAGAUGUGUAUUUGGAUGUCUGGUUCAGCAAGGAGGGACAAAAGACAUGGAGACAUACGAAUAAAGUUUAUGAUAUACAAUAACCAGUGAUUUAAAAAGCGCUAGGCGUCAAGGUCCACAAACGCCCGAGGCGCUAGGCGCUCGCCCAGGCGCUCGCCCGAGCGAAGCGAGGCGCUAAAUUAUAAAAAUAUAUAAUAUAAUUAUUUAAAAUUAUCUAAAUUAUAAAAAUAUAUAAUAUAAUUAUAACAAUAAUUUCAAAUAAAUAAAAAUUAACAACAUUAAAAUCAAAAUAAUAUAUUAUUAAUCUAUUAACAGAAAAUUAAUCAUUUAAAAAUUCAAAUAAACUUAAUAUUAAGAGUAUACUGAGCCUGAUGGAGAAACGAGGAAGCAGCGGCGAGCGGCGGCGAGCAGCGGCAGCAGCAGCAGCAGCAGCGACGGCGAGUGGCGGCAGCGGCAGCGGGAAAGGGAGCGGAAGGCGCGAGCAGCGGGAGGCCUCGAGGGAGGCGCGAGCAGCGGGAAGGCUCGCGGGAGGCGCGAGCAGCGGGAAGGNNNNNNNNNNNNNNNNNNNNNNNNNNNNNNNNNNNNNNNNNNNNNNNNNNNNNNNNNNNNNNNNNNNNNNNNNNNNNNNNNNNNNNNNNNNNNNNNNNNNNNNNNNNNNNNNNNNNNNNNNNNNNNNNNNNNNNNNNNNNNNNNNNNNNNNNNNNNNNNNNNNNNNNNNNNNNNNNNNNNNNNNNNNNNNNNNNNNNNNNNNNNNNNNNNNNNNNNNNNNNNNNNNNNNNNNNNNNNNNNNNNNNNNNNNNNNNNNNNNNNNNNNNNNNNNNNNNNNNNNNNNNNNNNNNNNNNNNNNNCGCCCGAGCGCCUUUUGCAAUCACUGACAAUAACUAUAUUUUAAUUUUAUAUGAUUGUGAAAUCUCAAGAAAAAAAAAUGCCUUCAAAACAAGGGAGAUUAAUUUCCGAUUUCAUUAUGGUAUAUCAUACUGAUCAUUAUGAUUGUUUAACUCUCAAGUUGACAUUCAGUUUCUACAUUCAAAAACAUGGACAGGAAUAAGUAAACCCACAAAAGGAUAUGCAUCUCACACAUUUCGGGAGGGUUAAUGCAUGAUUACAUAACACCUCACAUGAUGAUUCAUAUGAUGGCAACAAGAAAUUAAUACAGUAACAAUGAGAAUAGAGAGUGCCAACAAGUGCAUUUUCAGUUUAGAAGCACCCAUUCAUAUGAUACAAAGGGAAACUACAUACCUCCACCUUUGUUUGAAACUCCAAGGAGCACUCGCAUACAUGACAAGCUGCACGGUGAGGAUGUCCGGUCGAGUUUUCUGCCCUAACAAAAGUAAAGACCUGCAGAGCAAUAAGAUGGAUUAUAGCAUUACAUAGUUUUUCAAGCUAGCAGAGAUUAUGUAUUCAUAGACUAAGCAAAUGAUUUAAUAGACCCCGACCUCCUCCCCACAGUUGGGGCAUGAGCCUUUCAUUGCAACCAGUUCAUUCCUCCAAAGACCUUGCAAUGCUUGGACUAAAAUAAAGAACCAGAUUUAACUAGUAGCCUCCCAAACAUUAAACAAAGAAAGCUGGGAAUUUAAUAAACUUAAAUCAUCUAGAAAGUACAAAGACAAUGAUGACUGACCUACUAAUAUGCAUGACACAUAAGAAAGCAUUCGAGCAAUGAACACUCUAAUGCUGAUGGAUUUUGAUUCAUCAUUACAUGCUUUCCAAACAAGCUAAUAAAGCCACAAAGAACAAUUUGGUUUUUGACAAACACUGGCUAGUGUGUUCAUUCUGUCGAGAUACAGUAGGUUAACAAAUGAAUCCUAAAUUUACAUAACCUCGUCCAUCCGAUUUCAAUUUCAUUUUUCUCACUUAAUCAACAAAUACUAGACAAUUUCUUUAACACCUAUAAAUAUAAGCAUUAUAUAAUUAUAAACACAAUAUUAUAGAUAAGAGAAAUGUUAUUGGAGGACAGGUUACAUAAUCAAAAGUUUAUAACACAAUCAAACAAAAAGGUUUUAACAGGUAUGCUACACAACUUUGCACUCUGCAUUACGAUCUAUGCUUGAACUUUGACCGUGAAACAUGCAUCAACUUAAUACUACCUAAUAUAUGUAACUUUGGAUUUUUUUUUUUUUCAGGUUGAGGUGCACCAUGUUGUCUGCAAUAUGCUGUUUUACGUAUUGCAUUUUUCACCAUAAGUAGGAUUGUCUCCCAUCCCUAUCAGCACCCAUCUCCACCCUCUAGCAUGUACAACAAUGUUCGUAUUUGGAAAUUUCUGUAAAAUUAACUUAUGAUGAUUGCAGAAACUUUUUUGCAACAUCGCAUAAUUUUAAUCUAUACAUCGCAUAAUUUUAAACUUUUUUGCAACUUACUUGAAGCAAAUGCAAGAGGAUAACCAACCAGAUGUCCCAGUCCCAAUAUUAGAGUUUUGUUAACCAUCAUAAGCGAUCCAAAUGUCGAUAUUUCACUGUAUAAGUAAUAUCUUGAGUUAAUCGCAUCAGCAAAAGCCAGAGUGAUGAUACAAAUGACAGGCACGAGAAUUGCUGAUGAUCCAAAUGCGAGUAGCACCAACCAAACACUUGCUAAAGCAAAAGCUUGUGAAGGAUCUUCCUGCCCUAAACACAAGUCAAAUCAAAACCUCAACCAAGUAAAAGGAAGUUUCCAUGAACCAGAAAAUAGAGAGGGAAAAGGACACAGGCUAACAAGAAUUUACCUCAGCAUCUGCAUAGGUUGAUUGUCGCCUGAGGCUACAUCGAGGAUACUUAACAACAGAUUUUGAACCAUACAGCCGCAACUUCAACUGUUAUAGAAAAUACAAACGUUAAGCAAAAGAUAGUGAAAAUGGACAUGAAGGAAAGACAGCCACUUGAUUAUACCUCAAUUUUAUCAAACAUCGCAUCAACAAUCAAAGGUUUACCAUUGUAAUAUGAAUCUCGUGCCUACAACAUAAAAGCAAGAUGAACAAGUAGAUGAAUUUACACAUCCAAACUUCCUAAUUCUGAGGAGAACUUCCAAAGAUCAUAAAUAAUGGACAUAACCAUAAAUAACGCUUUGCCCAAUGUUUCAUUUCUUUCGAUCAAAAUAAAAACAGAGCUCCAGAUUAUGACUUAAAGUGACUGCAACAAGAAAAAGUAGUUCAAUUCAUCUCAUAGGCAAAUUAAUUGAAUUUCAUGCUUCCUGGUACAAAAGAAAAGCCAAAGAAAAUCAUAAAACUAAAGUUCAUCUACUUGCAGAAACCUAUCAAUUAAUGAACUCCAACUAAAAAUGGAUGACAAAAAUAAUUAGCAAAAGAAUGAUGAUAUGACCAAACUUACUUAAAUGUAUUAUGAGGCAGAAAAUUAUCGAACCAUUUUGGAGGAUGAAGGUAAUUAGAAGCUUUAUGUGGUUUAUUCCAAAAACAAUGAAGCUCAUGUUGCAAAUUACUGAUCUCCCUGAUCUGUAGAGCUGAAUCUGAAUCCUAUAUAGACUUCAAGAUUUAUAGUACUGCAUGUUAGUAAAUUUUGCAAACACAUUUAAAGAAAAGGGAGUUCCAAAUAUGCACAUCAGUUCUUGUUCUUCUUUAUUUAACAUCUAGCACGUUUGAAGAUUGCAGAAUCUCUUCAUUGUUAUCCUCGAAUAGUCCAGUGUGUUAUUUGCCUCUUGCAGGAUGGACAUCACAACAAGAAUGCUUUUACCUGCUGAUAGAGGGCCUCCAGCAUCUCCUUACUGGCGGUCUCGAUAGGGCCGACGUAGAGGCAGGAGGGGGCAUCCGCCGCGACCGCGAGUACCGGGGAGAACGACCUUCGGCCGCCGCCGCGCGGCCGCGGCCGGAGCCGGUCGUGCGCGGAAAGGGGGCGGGCGCGGAGGACGUGGAAGGCGGGGACGGCUGCCGCUGCGGAGGAGGAGGACGAGGAGGAGGACAGGGGCAUGAGGCCCGCUGGCGCCUCCGCGCGUGGAGGCAGCGGGCAGCGCGGUGUAAUCGCGGCCGCAGACGCUGCGUUGUGGCCACCAUUUAAGAAGCCACGUCUCUCGACGCACCACCACAAGACGAUCGCAAGCGUGAGUGGAUGUGUGUCUCUCAUUGGAUAUUUCUCUUUCAGCUUUGCGCGGCCAAUCAUCGAAUAUAUAAAUAUACAUAUAAUAAUAUCUGUUAGUUUUGUCCAAAAUAAUAUGUCCAAUUAAUCUGUGAAAAUGAUCUUAUUUUGGUCUCCCAUAAAAUAUAUAAAAGAUGAAAUUAAAAAAUUACCCCACACAAAGAAAUUAUAAUAACCUUUUUUUUUUUUACUUUACUCAAGACAUUAGGAAAACAUACAAAGUGGAUUAUCCGCUUUGCAUCGAAAUUAUUAACUCAUCCAUAAUUUCUUAUCUCAAACGAAACAAAAAUAAUAUUUUGUUUAAAGAUUCAUUUAAUAAAAUCUCACUAAUAUUUUAAAUUUUGAUUCUAUAUUAAAUUAGAUUACAGUUAAUUAUGUCAAAUCUUAUGAACACGAAUCGAGUCAAAUUCAAUGCAUGUAUCAUUAAAGCUAUUGGAAUUUAUACACCGAAAACAUGAGCGAUAUCAAGAGCAUCUAUGAAGAACAGAUGAUACUGAAAGAGAACUUGCAAGAUACAAGAUUACGCCUUUGUGUUCUUUCUAUCCCCUAAGUAGGAAGCGAGGAAGCCGAUGGCCUUGGAUGAGCAAUCUUUCUAUUCCCUACAUCUUCCCAGCUUCUCCAACGAGGCAUGGCGGGCCGUUGGCCACUUGAGUUCUGUUCGGUCUUGGGGUUUCUCUCGGCAUCCUUGCCAUGCUGAAGCUGCUCCAAUGCCACUACCACUUGAUCCAUGGUUGGCCUGUGCUUUGUUUCCAAGGACAGGCACCUGUCUGCGAGACCGGCUAUUUUCUGGGCUCCUGCCAGUGAGUACUGUGCUCUCAAUCUGGAAUCCAGGAUGCUGAUGAUCUUCCUCUUGCUCGCAAGAUGAGGCUUCGCCCACUCCACCAAUUUGUACUCUCCGGUGGGGCGGUUCUUGUCGAUGGCACGUCGGCCAGUCAAUAUCUCGAGAAGAACAACUCCAAAGCUAUAGACAUCACUCUUGGCAGUCAAAUGUCCUUUGAAAGUUUAUGAUGCAAAUCAACAAGUCAGCACAUGUCUCAAGCAUCACUUUCAUUAAGAAUGUAUGCUCACCAAACCUACCUUCUCCAUGUAAUGUGUAGAAGAUUACAAUCUAUAAAGAUGAGAGAGAAAUAGUUUACCCAAAGUUACACGUAAUGACUACUCGGAGGCACCCUUAAAUAAUAUCUUUAUUUCCUCAUUGACUUGACUAAUAUUUAGCUUAAAUAACUCCAAGGCUCUAAUCUCAUGUAAAUCACCGAUAUAGUAGUAAUCGGAAUGGCAAAUAAAGGAUGAAACAAGAUGCCUAAUCACUAUAUAAGCUACAAGGCCGGCCAUCUCCAACAUUACUUGUUGAUAUUUCACACAAACCAAGUAGUAAGCAAAGUAUUGUUUGAGAUGAUAUGUGCUAUUGCUUUUGUGGCAAUAGUUUUAACCAUCACCUUAUGUGCAGAUUGCAUAAUUGAUCCUAUUUAAAAGUGAAGCAUUCUAAAUAGAUAUACUAAAAGCCAUGAGAGGCCGAGUUGGAUCAAGAUAAACUAAUGGUAAGUAAAAUGAUAAACGAUAUAAUUAGUUUAAUAGACACCUGACCAACUCAUGUGUUCAUGAGGAAAUUGCAAAUUUUAUGUGACUUAAAUGACUAAACAGAUGAGGGGUUUUUGUGAAUUACAAAUCAGAUGACAAGCAAAAGUAUUCCAGGCUGUGAAGAAGACACAUUCAGCAUUUGCAAUAAUAAAGAUGCAACAAAAUUACCUGUUGCAAGAUACUCAGGAGCAGCAUAUCCAUAUGUCCCCAUGACCCUUGUAGAAACAUGGCUUUUAUCACCGGUAGGACCAUCUUUCGCCAAUCCAAAAUCAGAAAGCUUUGCAUUAUAAUUCUGUACAUAAAUCGGAAACAUCAAUUCUGAAAGUUGAAUGAACGUCCAUUUCAAUGUUGAAAACCUAGAUGACUACAUACUGAAUCAAGAAGCACAUUGGAGGUUUUGAAAUCACGAUAAAUGACUUUCGCCUUGCUGCUAUGCAGAAAAGCAAGUCCUUUUGCAGCUCCCAGAGCAACCUUCAUGCGGAGGUUCCAGGAGAGUGGCUGAUAGUAUGAACUCCCUGCAUCACCAUAAGAGCAUACAAACUGAGAUUCAUACAGAUUGAAGUAGAGUAACAGCAAACAGUAGCAAUCUCUUAGAAAACAAUUCCUUCAAGUAAAACGUGAAGAACACAUCCGGUAUAAUAUCAGAUACAGUCCAUGAAGAACAUACUCCUGAAGAGAUGAUUCUCCAAGCUUCCCCGAGACAUGAAUUCAUACACAAGAAGUCUUUGUUCAUCCUCCAAGCAGUACCCAAUAAGCUUUACAAGGUUAGGAUGAGACAGCUGACUCAAGUAAUUAACCUCCGCCUACAAGAUUUAAAGAAGAUGCUAUUGAGACUACAUGUAUCUGGUAAGCUACAGAAUAGAAUUUGAAAUCUAAGUUACCAGCUCGAUAUACAUAUCAUUCAUACAUGAGGUGGAUCUCAACACUAAGAAAUCAGAGAACAAAAGAGAGCAAAGAUUUUGCAGGAAUCAAUACUCACCAACCAUUCUUUGUGACCCUGGAAACCUUCCUGGUUGAGUUUCUUCACAGCGAUAACCAUUCCAGUCCCAGGCUUAGCUGCUGCCAACGUGUGCUCAUUGAUCCAUCCCUUGAAGACUGAACCAAAGCCUCCCUCUCCCAACACACUGUCUGGCCGGAAAUUCCUGGUGGCAGUUCUGAGUUCAUUGAAGGUGAAGCUCUUCAGAUUGGAUGACGUCAAGAUCUCACCCUCACUCCGUGGAGUCGGCGGCACGGAGGACGCAGACACCCUGCUGCUGGAACUGCUUAAAACGUUUCCCUUCCUGCUCCCAUGUGGAGAGUCCUCUCCUAGGCAUUCAAAUACAGUGUCUACUAGUAAAUCAGACUCAAAAGAAAAAGCCACAGACAAUGCUUUCAUCGUAAACUCUUGCAUUAGCCAAUCAAUUGAAUCAAGUAAUACAACUUAGCACAAUUCAUCACCUUACUUAACAUUGUGGAACAAAAAAUACGAGCGGCAUACUUUACCAGAUAAAUUAGCAAAAUUGAGCCUAUGUUUGAAAGGAAUAACUGCUAAUAGGCAAUUUCCACAAAAGAAGACUUACACGGGAAUAAUUCCAAGAGAAACACAAAAUUCACUCUUCCAACACUAUAUAUAUGUGUGUAUAUAUAAGGCAGUAAAACAACUCUUAUUGAGUUGAUCGAUAUGCCGAUCCAUCAAAUCGAUACCUCUUCCUACCCCUCCAAUGACAAACUGAAAUGUUGUUUGCCCUAAAUUAUUUCCAAAAUUAGAAAUUUAAUGAUCUCUAAGAACAGAUUCAGAACAACUUACUCCCUUCAGGGAUGACAAGGUGGGAUCUCUGAUGUGGUAAUAGGAAAUUGUGAUAUGUCACUGCCGUGUUAACAUGACAUCAGAUAAAUGCCCCAUAUUACUGGUCCACAUUAAUUAAUGGAUGACAUACCUGCAUCUGCAUGUCUCCUUGGUGCCAGGAUCAUUCAUCGUGCCACUACUCAUCACCUGCGCGGUAGCACAUCUGACACCUCUUCUUAGAAGGUUUAACACUAGGCAUUAAUGGACGACGGAAAGGGGUCAGGUAGGCUCCUCCGUCCGCCUCCGAACGACGACCAAAAGUGAUUCAUCGACAAGAGAACGGUGGAUUCCCUAAUCUACCAUACUAUCAUUAGUAAUCCCUCAGAGAAGACAGUUAAAUAUUGCAACUUUUUUCACUUAAUCCACUAAAAAACCAUUCAAUUUCUAUGGAAAACGUCCCAAGGUUAUAAGCUAUGAUCGAACUCAGAAGCUGCAUAAAACAAGAUGGAACCUUUAGUACCUGAAGCGAAGACGUCGUGGGAGGGGUUCUCCGCCUUGACCUUAGCGCCCCAGCAAUUACCCAUCGGAGAACAACCCAAGCGUGACGACAGCCACGGCCUUCAAUCUACUGGCAACCCCCGAAAGAUAGGGUUCUCCGCGGCCAAAUCUGUGAGGCAAGAACCACCGGAUCCGGCAAGGAAGCAGCCUUUUGGCGCAGUAAUGCAGCAGGAAGCCGAGGUUAACAGCGAUUCGGCUUGCUCACCAAGAGCGGAUCUCCAGUUGCGGAGCUCCAAAUGAAAGCUGGGAUUCAGCGGCGAAGAGGAGCGAGCUUGAAUCGAGUGACGAGUGGAGAGGGCGCAUAAAAAGAAGAGAGAAAGAGGAAGAGAGAGAGUGAUAGGUGCUUCUUUUUGCGCUUUUGGUGUUCUGUGUUGCUUUUUAUUAAGUCCGUCACGAAGGUUGACUUCAGAGUCAUGGAUUGGAGAGUCGUAAUUAAUAGCGACACAAACUAUAUAUAUAUAUAUAUAUAUAUAUAUAUAUACUCUUUCAUUAAUAUUGUUUAUAACAGAUUAUUUGAUCGCAAGAAAUGAUAAACUUUGAACUAAAUAUAGGACUUGGAGUCCUUCGUUCUCAUAUUUCUCAAUCAAUAUGGAACUAAAUAAUUUUAUUAGUGUUUUAUUCCGAAGGGGAGCCAAGGACGAGUUUGCUUGGUCGAAGUGUAAGCAUCGGGUCCUCCUUCGAUCGGUCAAUCAUUAGUAUGAUCCAUAGGCUCACGAGGAAUUAUCCAUUUUGUGCAAUGGGCAUACCCGUAUAAUUUAUCAUUUACGAAGCAUUAAUGCGGUCAUUAGUGUGGCUCAUAGGCUUACGAGAAAUUAUCCGCUUUAGACAAUGAAUGUAUUCGUACGAUUUUAUCCUUUUUCAUAUAAGCUCCGUAAAGCACUUAGUUCCAUAAGGGAGAUUUCAUGAACUUAUAAGUUCUUAGUUCCAUACUCCUCGAUUAAUAUUUGAACUAAAUGAUAUAUAUAUAAUCACUGUCCACGACUUUUCCACGUGGAUUGAUCUUUCGUCUUUGAUGUCAAUUCCAGCCUCUGUGCCAGUCUAGAAAGCAAUAAUACUUCACGUAAAUAAUGGCAGGAGCAGCUUUACAAGUACGGUUACAAUGGAUCUGCAAUCUUAUUUGAAAGCUCUGGAGGUGGGUUUACUCUCUGCGACAUGACACCGAGAUAAUAUAAAGCUUGAUAGGAAUUGAUAUAUAGAGGAGAGAGGCUUAAGGUUUGGCAACUCUGUCGUAUCACUGUCUCCAUUAAUUGGAGUUUGCUCGAGGGAAGAAUGAGGGAGGUCAAAAAGAGGGCUCUGCAACUUGCGGCAGCGGCACGAGAUUGCACGUAAGUGUCGACCAAAAGCUGUGGUCUCAAACGAACAUGAACACCUCACGAGAAUGACAUGAAGGAUUAGGCCAUGGUUGAAGUGUCUGCAAAUCAUAAUCUCAAAGAUAUCGAGAUGACAAAAUCCGAUUACGUUCAGAUGCAAUGUCCUCAAUAAAUCCGAUGAAAGUGCCCUAUAUAUACGUAAGAGUCGUGAAGGAAAGCUGCGUUUGGAUAGAAGUGGGGGCAGACAAUAAUAAAGAGGGGGGGUCGACUUCGUAAGAGGUUGAGCUGUGUCCCCAUGUGAGGGAGCUGAAGCUUUUCUUCCUCCCUACUGCAGAGAGGCGGAGGAGGGAGGAGGCAGCCCCCACUUUGACUUGCUCGAUUUCUAGAUGACGGACAAAGAGCAUGCACCAUUAUUACAAGGAUGCAAGAGAUGAAGGAUAACAGGAGGAAGCAGGCUGGGGAAGAUGAUGUGCUUCUCAAGGGGUACGAAGUGGGGUGAUGACGUCUCUAACAUGUCUUUGGAUUCGUCAUACUGUGAAAGUAAUGAAACUAAACUUUCCAAGCCUAAACUACACAUUUCCCUACAAUUCCCGCAUGCAAGAAACUAAACUUUCAAGUCUAAUCCCUAAAGGCAACGAAUGGAAGAAAGAAAAAAAGAAAAAAAGAGGGGAGAGUAUAUUAUAAUACAUUAAUUGUGAAUUAAAAUGCAAUUAACUAAACGAGGAAACUAUUUGCCAUUACUGCAUGUAAACAGAUAUAAUAAGACAGUAAUUCUCAUGGCAAGUUAUUUUAAUGAUCCACUAGCACACGUGAAAGAUAGAUGUCAUGAAAGCAUCUUAUUGCUGUCGGCAUUGCCAGCUAAAAUGUGGUAAAGAGCAGGUCUCCCAAGUGGUGGAGAAGCUGAACUUACAAUUAGUUGGAAAUGAUAAUUAUCACAAAGCAAAUAAACAAGUUGUGCCGAUUUUUGAGAGUUGCAGAAUCUGAAAUAUGGCUUAUUCAUCCUUGAGGUGCUUCCCUCACUCGGUUCUUAGCAAAGAAACUACAAGAAAAACCCACGGAUUCUCAACACAAAAUUCAGAGGUCAAUACAUGAGCCUCGACUUGAGAGUUAGGAGUGUGUCCUCAGGCAGACGACUUGACUGUAGCAGCAUUGAUGAUGUCCACGAAUUCCGGCUGUAAUAAACAAAUAUAGAAAGGAAAGAAGAUGAGAUCUAUAGCCAACGUAACCAACAAAUUUAGAGUCAACUUGCUAAUUGAAGAAAAUUCCAAAGCACAUUCUCUUCAGUACUCAUGUCAUGUAGCCACCGUCUGCGACAUGCCAGAGAUAAAACAUGCAUCUAGCAAAGGCAAUGGGACAGCAAGCAUCUUCAUAACGUGUGAGGAUCAUGAAGUUGCCAACUAGUAGAUGACUGUUAUUCAUAUUGUGGUUGUCAACCCAACCCCCAAAAAACAAGUCAAUCUUAGUGCAAGUUGAAAUCCAAGCAAUUUUUCCCUCUGAAAAGGGUACCAGACAUGUUUUUGUGGUCAUUCUUCAUGCCAGAAAAGUAAAUUAUCACUCUUGUGGGUUUCAGAUAGUGACUAAUGACAGCCAAGAAUAUGUAAUAUAUUUAAGGACAUGCAAAUCUAGACAGACAUGUAGGAAAUAUAGACACAUACCUUCAAAGAAGCACCUCCUACAAGAAAUCCAUCGACAUCAGGCUGUGCUGCAAGCUCUUUGCAGUUAGCCCCACUUACAGAACCUGCAGGAAUUUCAUUUCUCAUGUUAGCAAAAAUUUCACAAGUAAUAUAUAAGAUGUUACUCCAUACGAGUCUCAUCAAAAAAAGGAAACACAAAUAAAAGAAACACGUAAAGAAUUACUCCCAGUUCACCAUGCUCAGUGCAACUCAAAGUGAUACAAGUACAGUCGUCUGGAACUUAUGGAGACAAGAGGAGAAAGGAAAAUCAAGUUGACAAUGAACAUUUACCUCCAUAUAUGAUCCUGGUUGACGCUGCAACUUCAGCACUCACGUUUGUUUGAAGCCACUUCCUUAAUUCCAAGUGGACCUGAGAAUCAUUGGAACAUGUGGCAGAAAUGGAUCAUAAUGAACUCUGAAAGAAAUGUCUUGGGAAAAAUCAGUAUCACAAGACAUCCUUGUGAAGCUAACAUAGCUCAGCAUGGAAAACAUGUCCACUGGUGUGAGCCUUAUGUUACCAUAGUGCUGUUUUGGCACACCCCUGAACUUGGUGCCCACGGUCUGUACUAACAGGUAUGGGUGGGCAUGACCAACAUAUGAAGUCCUUGGUGUUACCGAGAAAAAGUUUUUUCUAAGCUGCACCAUGCAUGAGCAUUAAAGAUGCCUGAUGUUACAUAUCUAGGAAAAAGAAUAAUUUAACCCUAUGAAAUUCAAUUAUACGUGGUGAUCAUAUGUUGCUAAAUAUAAAAAUGAACAGCAUAUUUUAUUUUACAGGAACUUAGUGACCAAUUAUAUUCGAGAAAUGGUGGCCGGAAACUUUAAGCACGUUUAGAUUGUUAGGUUAGAGACUUAUAGGAAGAUCAAAAACUUGCAAAUAAAUAGGCUAGGUUCAAAACAGAAUCACUUAGCAACAAGCCUGUAUUGUGUUACUAUGGCAUCAAAAAUGCAGAAAAUCUUUAACAAUUUUUUUUUGAUAUAACAUAUAUAGCAUGCCAACCUAUUUUGGCCACUUUGGACAAGACAAAUUUGACUAAUGAUUGUGAAUUUUACAUAAAAUUUGACAAAUAAAUGUGAGUUUUAGAUCUGCUGUUGAAGUAGCAUAUGAGACAUCACUGUGAUCUCCAAGGUAAAGACCUCAUUGUCCCAGUAGUCUUAGUGAAUAUAGAUGCAGAUGAUGGCAUAUUUUGGUAAAUAUUUUCCAAAACCAUACACAAGCAUUAUGAAGUAAUAUCCACAGAACUCGAGAGUUGACAUGGAAACAUGUGCAAAGAACUAAUACCUCCUGGGCCUGAGCUGGGGUAGCAACCUUUCCAGUUCCAAUUGCCCAAACUGGCUCAUAAGCCACAACCACAUUGGUCCAGUCAGAAAUCCGUUCUGUAUGAGAAAAAAUCAAUUAGACAGGGUACCUAAUAGUAAAAAAUAUUUGGUACAGAUGUUUCAUCCUACAAAAUCAGUUAGACCUACUACAUAGAAUGACACCCAAGAAUGACAGAUGACCCUAAAACUUUUUACAGUUAUUAAAGUUUAUAUCAUGAUUCCACAAGUACAAGAAGGUGCAUAGCUCAAUUGAACCAACGGGCAACAGCUUUAAUUUAUGAUAUGCAAAGCCAUAAAUACUUCUCUAGCUAUAUACAACACUAGGAUGUUUGUUGUGUACUUGAAAUCUAUUAUUAUCACAUUUUCUUCUACAUAGGAAGGGUUAAAUUGAACUACCAUUAUUAUUUAAGUCAAUGAACAUUCUAAUUCAUCCAUUGGAGAAGAACAAAAUUGUAACUCAUGAGACAUCCAAGUUAUGUAGCUAAAGCAUUUGCUUGUUGUGUCAAAUUCAAGAUUGUGAACAUCAUACAAAAUCAAAGAUGACAAAGAAGAAUUGAAUUCUUGGAAUUUAUUCCACUAAAAUAUAUUGACUGUGCUCCUAUUUGAUCGAAUGCAAUUUAGUCAGAUAAGGGCACGCUUGGGUAAAACAAUAAGAUUGCAUUAAAUUUGCCCAUAAUUCACAUUGAUACACCCAGGAUCCCAUAGUGCCAAGAGACUGCAUUAAAUUUGCCCAUAAUUCACUCAGAUAAAACUUUCCUUUUUCACACAAAAUAAAGAAAAGUAUACUUUAAAGUAACCAAAGACCUAAAACAACCACAAUAUUAACAAAUACUAGCUCAUGCUCUUCCUGGUUACAUGCAUCAGAUCUGGACACUGAUGACCACUUAAACAUGUGGCAUACCUAAAUGUUAAAUGUAACCAUCUCUUAUAUAGAGUCACAAUGUGAUUGAUACCUAAGCCAUGACCUAGCAAUAAACUUGAAACCAUACUGGAAUAUGACUGAGACACAGUUACUUAAAACUUCCCAUGCCAGCAGAAUUGAUGUAAAAACACAUGAUACAACACUUUCUUUUUACACUGGAUGUGUACACAAAACUCAGCCCACAAGUUAAAGUGACAAUAACACGAGGCAUGCAGAGUACCUGCGAUAGCUUUUGUUUGUGCAGCAACUACAUCCAUCGUGGUUCCUGACUCACGCUGCUCAAGUGUCUCACCAACACAAGCAAUCACCUUCAGGCCUUUAGACAGUGCAUAUGCAACUUUAUCUCCAACAAACUGCCCAAGAAAAUAAAAAAUGUGAAUUAGAAGGUAUUGAAUAUCUAACAAAUUUGAUGACAACUUCAGCAAAUUUCCUUGAUAGGCAUAUUAACGGGGAAGACAGCUAAAAUAUAUGAGAUAAAAUUCUAGUUGCUUGCUGGUAAAAGUGUAUGGUCAUUUUGCAUCACAAGUUGUUAACCAAAAUAUACUAGCAUAUUCUACCAAAUUACAUUGUAUACCAGAAGCUAAUACAACUUCCUUUUGUUCCUAUAAGUAUGCAUUAUAUCGUUGGCAUCCAUAGUUUAAAUAUUAUGGAGAACAAGAUCUUAUAAGUAUAAUAAUUUGAUUAGAAACUAGCAUAAAGCUUAAUCCAGCACUUAACUGAUUUCAUCGAGUGAUAAAAUGUGCAACUAAAUUUUCAUGUCGAUGCUAACUGCUGUCUUUUUUGGAACAUGCAUAACAAGAUCGGGAAAGCAAGAUAUAUGGCACUUUAGCAAGCUACUAGCUAAUUGUUAAUGCAGCACAUCUAGGAUUUGCAUAUAGCCUUUUAGCACAUAGGCAACUUACCUCAUUUGAUUCACUCAACAAAAGCCUUCGUUCAGAGUGUCCCAGAAUGACCCAUGGAAUGUCAAGGUUGACAAGCAUCUCAGCACUGCACAAGGAAAAACAAAUAUAUUCAAAUUAGGAGUGCCCAAUUGUUUUACAACAUUGUUAUAACUUAAAGAUGUGCAAGUAGGCAAUGAAAUGGCCAUUCAAAUAAAAACACCAUCAAAGUUGAAAAACCUAAAAAUAUACUACAGAAUGAACCAAAAAUAGAAACCUUAAAAAUCAAAAGUUCAUAACAUAGUAAGAAUUUGAUGAAAAAAGGCCCAUAAAAUGUGAUCCAAUGAUAAAAAUAUAAAUAAGAGAAAAAGUUGUUCUUAUUUGAACAGAGAGCAUGAACAAGUUCAAAUUCAUCUAGGGACAAAAAUCAUACCUAAUCUCACCAGUGUAAGCACCUCCUUUCUUAACCCAACAAUUUUGUGCUGCGACAUGGAAUUCAGGGCGCAACGAGCUUUUUACGAGCGGAAGAAAAACAAAUGAAGGGCUAACCACCACAUCUGCAGAGAUAAUAAUACAUAUAAUUUAAUGCGUUUACAGUGGUUGCACAUCGACAACUAGCCUAUCUAACAGUUAUAAAUAGAUACAACAUGUAAAUGACAGCAUACACAUUCUAAUUCCACAAGACAGUUUUGCAGAACAUGUGAGGAACUGGAAAAGCAACUCAGCGGAUAACACCAAUGAGUAUCAAGAACUAAAGGUUUCAAAGGCGAAGAUAUAAUUCUAUCUCUCAGUCAAAUAAAAUUGACGAUCGCUAAAUCAUCAUGAAUUUCUUGAGAAUCUAGUCUCGUUAAAACUGAAAUUUGUGAAUCAGAUGCCAGAGGGGAUGGAAUAGAAAUUAAUGUUCAGAAACCAUCUGAAUAACGCACUGACUAAGUUUCACACCAAACCAAACAAAAUUGUUGGUUACCAACCACUCAUCUAACAUCUCACUAAUCAAGCAGCAAUGACCUGGAAUCUUACCUAAGGAUCUUAGCAGUUAAUACCGACGAUAUAAAAGACAAAAAUAUAUGAGGAAACAUUGAAAGAAAAAAGAAAGCUCAAGUAGAUCUGACAAGCAAAUGCAUAGGAUUUCAUUUGUGACAAAUAGAACAAACAGUAUGUGAAUAUUUCCAAAACAUAUCCCUAAAUAUUCGAUCAAGAUCAUAGGGUUCACAACCAUACCGACAACAUCAGCCGAUGCAACUUUGCCAUCGUUCAGGAUGCUGACAAUUUUCUUGACCUCCUCGCUGGUCCCAUUCUGCGAAUACGGCCCAAAUAAAAACACAUUUAGCAUCAGAGUUCCAUGAUCUUAUAUUUUUUCCCAUAUUUAGUAGGCAAUCAAAAUCAAAGAGGACUAGAGAACAUGGAGUGGAGACAUAAAAAAGGAAACAGAGGUGUCCGAAUCCAGUAUAUCAAGAAGAUCGACUCUAAUUAGUUAAAAUUAGUGGAAACGAAUAAGAUUAAUAUGAAUCAGAGAAGAACGAGAGGAAACAGCAACAAAUCAUGCCGAUCGAUGGGAUCGGAUAACUUAAAGCUGACGAUCGAUGAAAGACGAGUAAAUCGGAGAGAUUUCCAGCAACAAGGACUGGCCAAGACCGCAAAUUUCACCAGCCAGGCUAUUAAGAUCUGCAAAAGUGGCAGUAGGGCAAAGUACCAAGCGCGAUCUAGAAAAAGGAAGAAAAGGGUAAAUGCGAGGAUUACGCAUUUCCAGUUGCCGCCGACGAAGAACUUCCUGGCCAUGUCUGAGGAGGUAGGCGACGAUGCUCAAAUCCAAAAGCCCUUUCCCUUGGCUUGGUCGAAUUAGAGGAUGCGGAGGUCUGGGCACUCAUAUAUACGGCGACUGAGACGAGAGGCGAUGGAAACAAGGGGAUGCAUUGGCACGAAUCUCGAACGUGCCAUUGGCUCCGAUGGGUGUCCGCGAUCGAUCCCGCCCGUCGAAUCAUAAGGAUCAACGAUCUGCUGUUUCCCCUUGACACAGCGAAUAGAUUUAUCAUGGAAUAGAUAUCUAGACACGUAGAUAAAGCUUCCGGGACAGGACCCACAUACGUGCCGUCGUGCACAGCUGCCGGCGAGCUGACGGUGCGAGUCCUGCGUGGUGAUUGGGUUCUCGGGACAUCGAUUACACGCCGUCGAGGGCAAUAUAAUAAGAUCCAGGCACUUGUAAUACAGGAGGAGCCCAUCGGAUCGUACAUCUGUGGGUUGGAUGAACACAGCUCUCCACGAUCAUUCUAUUAUUAUUAUUAUUAUAGCAAUAUUAUAAUUAUUAUUUAAGAUCAAGAUACAGUUAACAUUUUUAGCAACUAAGCUAGUAAACAUCUUUAAUUUCUUUUAAAAAAUAUAUUAGAUGAUACUUUGACCUUUAAUAUUUGGUAAGAAAGUAUAAUAUAUCAUCACUAUAUUAAUAUUUAAUAUAUUUAUUGUAAUAAUAUUAAUUAUUAUAAAUUUAUGUAUCGGAUAAAAUAUUAUUAUAAGAUAUAUCGAGCAUGAUAUAUCUAUAUAGCUACAAGAUACAUCGAUCCAAAAUAUAAGCAUUAAUGUAUAGGAUGAACCAUAAUUGGGCAAAGGAUUUCUUAUGACCGAUGCAACCACUUAGAGCUCGACGAAGACAAUCAAAAUGUUUUUUUACUCUUUAAGAAAAUUAGAUUGAGAAGAAAACAAACAGGAAAAAGAAUUUUUUGUAUUGGGAAAAGACAGCUACUUCACAUAACAUAAAGCACCGAAUACAACACUGCUACCGUAUCCGGAAAUCAUACAUACUUAAAGGUAAGUAUGAUCGACAUCAUCUCUAAGUCUUACGGAAGGAUACUCCCUAUUUAAGAGCAACAACGCUUCAGCAACUCACGUCUGAUAUCUGCAGUUCCCGUAACCUGCCACAGUCAAAGAAUGAUCAGCGCUGCAGGAAUCAGGAAGAACAGAGAGGGAAAGCGUGAGAUCAGAUAAAACGCAUGCGUCCACUUACUUGGGUCGGUCGAGGUGAGGACGCCGCUGCCGCCAAAGUAGCAGUUGAAGUCAUGGCGGCCGGCGGCCUGGUAGUAGGCGUUCAUGGCAUAAGAGGCGUGGGCCAAGAGCGUGUUGGGGUCGAAGCACGCGCCGCCGUUCUGUAUGGCCCCGCAAUCCGCCCCGCCGCUGCCGCACGCGUAGUCGAUGUUGUUCUGCAGCUCCGCUAGGCUCGCGUCCGCCGUUGCCACGCACCACCUCCAGGAAUCACCCGAGGGCGCCGGCGCCUGCAGAAUACCACCGUCACUCGAGUAUCGAACGGAAGCAAAACUCAUUUCUAGCAUGGCUGCCCCAACCAUGUUAUCUAGCAUGACCGUCCGACCCUUUGGUAUAGUAACUUUUUUAGAAUGACGUAUUUACCCUCAAUAUAAUACGUAUACUCCCCCAAAAAACAGUGUUUAGUGUCGAUUGGUUUGAAUCAAAUAUUUAAGAUAUCAUUAAUAACAUUAUCACCGUAAAAUUGAACGGAUGUUUAUGAUAAAUUUAAAUUUAGAAGGAUAAAUACGAAUACGUGUAUAAGUAUAAUAUACGCAAUUUUGAAGUAAAAGUAAAGAGGAGGACAGGACUCACAUUGUCGCUGUCGCGCAUAAGGCCGACGUCGUAGGACGGGGAGAGGUCGGCGUUGAAGAGCCCAAAGUGCCGCUCCGCAGUCGGCCCGGGCUUCAGGUUCUCGUUGAACAGCGCGAACACGUACGUCUCGAACCGCCGGCCCGGCAUCAUCGGCGUUCCCUUCCCAGAGUUCACCAGACGUAUCAGGUUGGCGUUGUAGGAGACCGCGUCCUCCACGCUCACACCGAGCUGGCCCGGGUCCCCGGCCGACGGCCACCCCGUCUCCCCCACGGCGAUCUCUACGUCUCCGUACCCCAGUCGCUGCAUCGCCGCUUGCACCGCGUCCAGCUGCGCCACGAACAUGUUGGUGUAGUUCACCCCCGUGGCCGGGUCGAACACCCCCGGGUUGGGGCGGAAGAGGGCGUAGUCGAGAGUGCGCGCUGUGUAGCCGAAGUAGGGGUAGGGGUUCACCACGAACGGGGUGCGCGUCCGGCGGUGGAAGUCAAGCAUCGGGGCGAAGAUGACGCGGUCGUAGCCGGGGCGGAAGCGGCCGGUGGAGGGCGGCUCGGAUGCAGAGAGGAUACCGAGGGAGUGGGGGGUGGAGACCCUGAUCUGGGGGAAGCCGGAUGCGGCAAGUGCCGCGGAGAGGGAGCGCAUAGCGGGGACGAGAUGGGCGAUGAGGUUGCGGUCGGAGGUGGCGAGAACCUCGUUUCCGACGGCGAUGAGGGAGAUGUUGGUCGCAGGGUAGAAGGGGGCGACGUUUAUGGCAACCCAGGCGGAGGCAGCAGGGGAUGGGGCAGAGGAGCGACGGGAGGCGAGGGAGGGGAUGUCCCCGUUGGGGACCGUGAUCAUGAGGGAGAUUCCGGUGCCAGCGAAGGCACGAAUGAUGUCCGGGUUGGCGUCGAAGAGCUUCACACGGUCGACGAAGGUGCGGUCCUUGAGGAAGGCGGCGACUUGAGCCGGCGGCGGGAGAUUGUCCGCGAAGGCACCGUAGUUGACGCCGACGGAGAGGGCCGCGGACAAGGAGAGAAGGUGGAGUAGGAGUAAGGGGAAAACGACGAGCUUCGCUGCUUUCGCUAGAGAAGCCAUUGCCGAGGGAUUUGGGGCUUUUGGUGGUGAAGCGAGACGGCGAAGGGGGGUGGAUUUAACGAGGGAAAAAGGUGUGCGAUGUUCCACUGACGCCUGUGGGCGCUGUCACGUGGCGACGACUUCGAAACGGGGAAUACGAACGUUAUGUUUCAAGGAGGCUGCCGCGAUCCACAUUCAAAUACGUGGACGGCUGAUUGGGGCGGUCCAAACAAUAGCUUUAUGGACUAUGAUUUAGUGUACAUAAAAGCGGGCGUUAUAAAGAUUACCAAUUCAUUUCCAACGCAAAUAAUCCACGAUGAUUGCAGAUAUUAAAUAUAUAAUCACGCAUUUGUAUAUACAUAUUUGGUAAUAAUUAGGGGUUUCUUUAAUUGGAUUAAUUAAGGUAUUAAUAGCUUAAGAAACAGGAGCAAGAGAAAGAGCUUGAUGGGCCAUAAGGAGCAUUUGGACCUAACUUUGAUGGGCUGUAGAACGGCUCGAUAGAAGCCUGUCAAAAUGUGAAGCUGACGAGAACCGUUAAACCCUAACCGGCCGACUACUCCCUCUCUCUUCCUUCUCAGCGCUCCGUGCUUGCUGGUGACGAAGGUAUGACCGCUACAGCUCGCUAAGGAUGCUGGCCCGAUUCGUUUCCCAUCGCGGCCCCUUCCGCUUCGUAGCCCUAACCACCGUAGCUUCCUCCCAUGUCCGCCGCGCCCCGUCCUCUCCCCCUCCUCUCCGGCCUCCGCCCACCUUUCUUGGUACUCUUACUCGUCUCGCUCUCCCUCCCUCCGAUCCCAAUUCCACUUUCUUUCCGUCUCUGAGGUCAUUCUCGAGCAAUCGAGGUGACGAUGACGAUGGCGACUGGAAGUUUACGCCGCAGUCCGACGAGGUCGGCUCCGUAUUCGGGGAGGAGGAGGGCGACCUUGCCGGGAUCGCUGAUGCCGCAGAGGGCGGGUCGGAGGUGGCCGCCGCCGGGGCCGACGUUAAGAGCGGGGAUCUGUGGGAAAAGGGUAUUGUGACGGAGGGUGAAGGGGAUAUUUUUUACGGCAUCGAUCGGGGGUUUGUGGCCAAGGAGGGCGGGGUAAGAGAAGGGAAUGAGGAAUGGGAGACGGCGGAGGGGUACAAGCCGUGGACGCUUGGUGACGAUGAUGAGAAAGGGGACUUGUUCGGUGUCGUCGAAGAAGGGGAGGCAGGGAUUGAGGGGAUCGAUGGCGGUGGUGUCGAGGAUUUGGAUAAGGCAAGGGCUGAUGAGCAGAAGCAGCUGGAGAAGAAAGAGGAAGAACUUUUAGCUGCUUUGAAAGGUAAGAAUCACAGAACACAUCUCAAGAAAGGAUCUUCUUGUUUAAUGUUACCCGAUUGAUGUUAAUCUCAACAGUCAAUGCUUAUGUAUGUACCCAUUUUCUGCAAGCUGAUUUGUAAUUAUCAUUGAUCUGGAAUUUUCUAUGUUGCAAUAUUUAUUGAAAAGGUUUUAGCUUGUCUCUUCAAUAAUUUGAAGCUUAUCCUAGUUGUUUGUUGUCUUGUACUGUCACCUGUGCUGAUAUAUGUUUGGGAAAGAAACUGCUUCUUUCUUUAGGUUUCUCACAAAUGACUGGUCAUGUUUAUUGUUGGUUUGAUGAUGAACUUUCUUGCUGUAUCGUCUCCCAUUCCAAUUGUUUUGGUUCUCAAAAUGUCUUGUUCCUGUAGCAAGUGGCAUGAAUGACAUAUGGCAAGUAGCAGUCUCUAUUCAACAACAACUAAUGUCAAGUUGUCUUGCUCCUACAACAUAUAAAUAUGAAAAAAGCAUGAAUAAUCUGAGACACAGGCUUUGCCAUCUUUCUAAUGUGUACACGAGAGAGAGAGAGAGAGGACUCAAAAUAUAUUUUGUGUUAAACAUCUUUGUUCUAUGGUUACAUGUAAAUCCAUUGAAGUAAGAUUAUUGAUUUAAACCUAAUACCUGUGUGAAGGAAUUGUAUGUUUAUCUCAUCACAUAAUGUUGCUUCUUAGUUUCUAUUGUUGUUGUCUUUUCACUAUUUCUUCUUGUGGAGUGAUAUAUUUCUAUUUCAUCAUGGAAUGCUGUUUCUUACCUUCUUUUGGUGUUAUUGGUGUUCUUUCUUCUUGUGAAGUAAAUAUGAUAAGAUUAUGAGAAUUAAAAUGAGAAAUAAUAUAUGUUUAUUUCAUCAUAGAACAUUGCUUCUUAGUAUCUUUUGUUGUUUUCUUUGCUCUUUCUUCUUGUGAAAUAAUGUGGCAAUGUUGUGAGAAUUAAAAUGACAUCCGAGGAAAACAUAAUCUAUCUUGUUUUUAGCUCGUUUUAGCCCUUUUUUCUUUAGAGUGGUGGAUGUUCUUGAUACUAGUUUUCUCUGAGAGAUUUUACUCUUCUGUUUUGGUGAUCGUGCUUCUUUGUCAUCUUUGUUCUUUUGGUUAUCUAGCAGAACUUUUUUGGUAGUCCAAUUUCAUAUCUUGUUAUUUUACUUCUUUCUUUUAAUUUAAAUAUCCUGAAGAUAGUACAGGAUAACUGUUAGAUAGUUGAAGAUGUUUGGGUUCUGUUGUAUUGUAUGUUGGUACUUUCAGAGUAGGACCAAUGAAUAGAUAAGAAGCUCCAUUCAUGUUAAAGAGACUCUGAUUGCUUGCAUCUUGUGUUUCUCCUUAGUACACAGCAAUGCAAACUGCUUAGGGCUCAAUGUUUAAAAUGGCAGGUCCAAAUCGGGCAUUUGGAGAUCUCAUUGCAGCAUCAGGAAUCACGGAUGAUAUGAUUGACAGUUUGAUUCUCUUGAAGGAUGUAAGCGGUGUCAAGGGUUUGCCUCCCCUGACAGAAAUUGAAGACAAAGCUAUUGCAAGAUUGAAUGAGACAUCAACAAGAGUUGAAAUUGAGCGGAAGAAACAGGAGGAAGUAGCAAAAGCUCGGGUUAGAGUGGUGGAUGAGAAGGGGAGAGCUUAUGGAACAGGAAGACGAAAAUGUAGCAUAGCUCGUGUAUGGAUUCAACCUGGUGACGGCAAGUUCAUCGUCAAUGAAAAGCAGUUCGAUGCUUACUUCUCAAUUCUUGAUCAUCGAGUACAACUUCUUCAGCCUUUCAUUGUGACAAAAACUCUUGGUCUCUGGGAUGUAAAUUGCACCGUCCAAGGGGGUGGAGUUUCUGGUAAGCUUUAUGACUACAAAAUUAUCUUUGUUUUGAGAAUUAUUGUAGAUGAACGAUCCAAUUUUAAGUAGAAAAUAACAGUGAUUUAAAAAGGUGCUUGAGCGCUCGCCUAGGUCUCGGGCAAGACGAGACGAGGCUCAAGCCCCUCGUUUAAGGGCCAGGUUGCGCGCUUCAAAGAGGCGUCGCCUGGGCGCUCGCUCCAGACUAGGCACCGGGUGCUUCGGGCAAUCGCCCGGUUUAAUUAAGCAAACCGAACCAGACUUUUAAGUCUGGUUUGGUUAAAUAAUAUAGUUUCUUACCUCAAGCCACCCUUCACUCUCGCACGACCCCGAGGAACCCUAGUGUUGCUUCUGCCUUUGUCAUCGACACUUUUUGUCGUUGCCUCCGCCACUAAUGCAAAGGACCAAACCUUCCUUUGUCGUCGACUGGCGAGUCCGACGCCCCCCGUAGCUUCCUUCCGCUGUUGCUCUGUGUGCAGUUCCUUCCACUGUCGAGGGAGUGGAUCGCAAAUUCCUUCGCCACUGACGGACACCCUCUGAAGCUUUUGUCGUUGUUGCUGUUGCUGUCCGCAGCUUUCGUUGCCGAUGUCCGUAACUUCCUCCAUUGGCGCUGUUGCUAUUCGCAACUUUCGCCGCUAUCACUGCUGUUGUCCGCAACUUCUACCGUUGUCGCUGUUGCAACAAUUUUAAACUGAUCCUCUGUUAUUGUUAACAUUUUUUUCUCCCCUCUAACUAUUGUUAAUAGUAAAUAAUAUACUGUUAACAGUAUAUUUUUAAUUUAAUAUCAUAUUUUAUUUAAAUAUUUUUUAUUAUUUUAUAUAUUUUAAUAUUUUAAUAUUUUAGAGCAUUUCGUUUUGCUCGGUGAGCGCCAAGUGCCUUAGCCAUUUUGGGACCUUGGUGCCUAGCGUUUUUUAAAUCACUGACAAGUACAUGUGUCGUAAGACAUACACAAGCAUUGUUAUAAAUUCUGUUUUUCUUAGUUGACGAACUGAAAGACAAAAAUUACCUUUGUAGAUUUAGAGAGGCUAUCUUUUCUUGUUUUUAGCUAUGGGACUGAUGCAACGAACCUCUUCGCUAUUGCAGGUCAAGUUGGUGCCAUUCGCUUGGGAAUCAGCAGAGCCUUGCAAAACUGGGAACCAGGGCUCCGGCCUUUCCUAAAAGCUGGUAAAUACUCUUACCAAAUUAGUUAUUAAGAUAUACUGUGAUAAAAUUUAACAAUCCAUUUUAAAUCCUAGCAUUGCAGUGUAACCUCAUCCUCAUUGUGCUUCUCAUGAACCCCCUCUUGGAUUUAGUAACCGACCUACCUUCAUCGCCCGUGUUUAGAUUCGAGUAGUGUGGCAUAUAGUGUGGUACUUAUUAUCCAACUGUUGACAUGGCUUGUGUGCUUCAUCUAGCUGGCUAUUUGACGCGAGACCCACGUGUAGUCGAACGGAAGAAGCCUGGAAAGGCCAAAGCCAGGAAGAGCUUUCAAUGGGUCAAGCGAUAACAGGUGUGGUUGUCAUUCCCUUUCUCACUGGAGAUACACUACCCUGUCACCAUUUAGGGGCUUACGAUGUUGAUCUGGAGAUGUAUCAUUUAUAAUGUGCAGGUUCUUGCGCAUCUUCUGCUCUCAGCUAUUUGGUAUUGCUGGCCCCUCAGUGAUGUUAUACCUCUGCUUGUUUUGUAGCCUGUAGCUCAAGAGAUCUUACUUACUACUUGCUCAUCCACUUGUGAUCAUAUAAUUAAUUUAUUUGAGCAACUGUAGGCAUCCAUCUAUCAAUCUUUUGCUUGUCAGCUUUUAUGUGGACCUUCUGUGUUUCAGAAUAAAGCGAACCAUCAAUUUUUCAAAGAGACACCAUUACUGUUCCAGAAUUGAAUUGAGGAAGGUAGUGAUGAUGUCUUGUUGUUUUUAAAGGUAACGGUGUAAAUCCUUUUAUCAAUAAUGUUUCUUUAGAAAAUUAUAAGACCUGAAAGUGAAUCAGAUUAUCAAUUUAUAUUUUACAUUGGAAAUUGUGCAAAAUGAUAUGUUGAACCUCAUUUCCCUUCUCUCCAUCUCUUCCGGUUUCUCCCAUUUGACAAACUUAUUGGGAAUAUUGAUCUGAAUUUAUUUUUAUAUCUGAGGAGUUAAUGACCUGACAAAGAUACACUUUUUGAUUUAUUUGUCGAGGAUUAAAGAUUCAAUGAUCUUUUUUGAUUUAUUUGGCAAGAAUUUAAUAAAUAAACAUUCAAAUUUUAUCAACAUUUUUUUAUACCAAAAAUAUUGAUCUUCUUGUUUAUCUGCAUAAUCAAUCCACUUCUCUAAAAUCACAAGCUCAGAACAGGAAAGCGAUAUGCAUCACAGGAAGAAAACUUGCUUCUUUUUCAAGUACUAAACGACACACAACACUCGAAACUAACAGCAGACGCACACAAACCACAGACAACAAGAUAGAAGCAAGAGAGAGAGAGAGAGAGAGAGGGAGAGGUCUGUUCUCUCUCUCAGCCAUGGUGACGAGAACAACAUCCUCCGAGGGAAGAGGGUUGAGACAGUAAGCCAUGGCCUUUUAUUUCCAUCACCAAGUCCAAACACAAGUCACUAACCCCACAACACCACCACCGAUGCUGCUCCUCUCCCUCUUCAAACUCUGAUCAUCUCCCUCAUUUGCAGUUGCAGGGAUCGCAGGUGCAGUUGGAUCCGCACUUGCAGCCAUUCUCGGACCCUUCAGCUGCCAUGUCCAACUCCUCAAAGUUCCUGCAACCAACCCCAAACAAUGUUGUCCAUCACUCGUACAGUAAUCAUGUCAAAGAUCAACGUUUUCAGAGUUAGGAACAGACCCUUUCUGAGGAACAACCCCCAUAACCAUGGUUUGGGCGGUGGUAUCCCUCUCGGUCAACAAGUCAGGGUACAUCUUGCAUCUGUCAUCCACGAUUCACAAACACAUAUAUUAGGAAUUUGAUUCCGAGGAAACAAAAUAGAAGGCAAACAGAUCUUCCUACCAAAAUCAGAAGAAGAAGAAGAAGAAGAAGAAGAAAAUUCUCAAAUGUUAGAAAUAUUUUAUGAGAUGGUGUUAACUGCUGGUGUUUCGUUACCCUCCGCAGCCGCUGCCGCACUGGCAGCUCGACCCACAUCCGCAGUUGCCUCCGCAGCAAGACAUCCUUCUUCUUCUUCUUCUACCUUCUUCUCCCCAAACAAAGCAAACCCCUCUCGACAGCCUGUGAUGGGAGCGGCACCACCGCAUCUGAUUUAUAGUGGGAAAACGAGACAUCCACCGUUCACGUGUCGAAAUCAAGUGGCCCUCGAUGUCCCCGCCGCGCGCGUCGGUCCCACCAAACCUGCAUGCAAUCGUCGUCUCCCACGUAACUCUAUUCCCGUCUCACCCCACGCGAACCCCUCUCUCUUUCUCCGGUUUCUGCAGUUGGAGAUGGCAGAUGGCGUGGUCGACAUGAAUUGAUGAGAGAGACUUCCUCUUCACGACACAGUACUGUCUGCACUCCGGAAAAGAAGAAAUGGGCACCGCAAUUAUCCAUGGACGAUCGAGCGUGAUGGAAGCGAUCCGGCACAGUGAAGCCUCCGACCUGAGCUAUCCACACAACUGUAUCAUACAUCAUCCGAUAGGUUCAGCAUCCUCCGCAACACAGCCUGAGAGAGGACUUGUCUCGAUCUCAUACGUCGAGAGACAGCGGAUGAUGGUGUGUGACACGAUCUGAGACUCAAGCCACCAACACAUCACUUCAUCCGAAGACCAUAUCGAUACUUGUAAUGAGUGGUAUCGUAUUAAUAUGAUACAUCUAUUCAACGAUCAUAUCCUUUAUCAUUAGUACAUAUAGUAAUCCAAAUUAGGUUCAUAUUUCUUAUUAAUUCCAACAUGCUAUUCCACUUUUUCCUGUUCUUUUCUCGAGAUUCAUAGAAAAUGCCACUCAGCUUUUGGUCCACAUUAUUGUGGGGAAGAUGAUCUGCCCCUGCAUAGCACCUCGCGUCCUUUUUUCUUUUUCGAUGCUGUUCUUGUCGCCUACAGUCACACCCACCAAAAGCUUAACUCGUCAAUUUUAUCUUGUUGGAUUGAAGAGUUCAGAAGACGAUAACGUUGACUUAGAUCCAUUCGAUAGAUGCCUAUCAAUCACCUAAUAAUUAGAAUAUUAUAGUCAUUCGUUUAGCAUCAUCGUCGGCGACGGACGGAUGAGUCAGCUCGAUUGAUUCUUAAUUAAAAAUGUAGAUCCCUUCUAUGGAGAGACGGUGUUAUCGGUAGAACGAAGGAAUAUGUAGGGAUAGGCGGUUCACUAGGAGCGAUCCAAUCUUCAAGUAAUGAAACUUGAUUUGAGAAAUGAGUGAUCCCUUCUAAUGGGUAGCCUCUUGGCCAUGCCUCCGAGCUACAUCGAUGACCAUACAUAACAAGCUUAUGUCAUGACUAUCCGGCUCAACCCAUUUGAUGCUUAAGUAAAAAAAAAACAAAGGAAGGAGAAAGAUAAUAGUAUCGGUUGUGUAAUCAAUAGAGUAAAAAGUAUAUUUUUGUUUGCUUGUCUUGGCUUAGCUUUGGGCUGACUUUUAUACUUUAGGGUUAGGUGGAGCGGAUAAGCCUCCAUCGAGACCCCCUUAUCCUGCGUGAUGGAGAUAUUUAAUGUGGGCGACUUAUCGACGUGUGCUCCAAGGGGCAACGUAUGAAGACUAUCGAGAUGACACCUUCGGUCUGAUUUUUCUGUUUUUUUAGAGUCAAGCAGAGCACAGUCCCCUUGUUAUUCGUCCGAAAGGAAAGGCUAGUGAAGUUAUGUAAUGUCGUCAACCAUUAAUGUAGAGCCAGGUAUAUUUUUUCGAUUGCAAGAUCGAUGAGGAGUGGAUCUUGUAAACUCAUUUCGGAAAGUCAUGACAAGUGACGUGAUAUCCUAUCGACGGUUUUAGAUAAUAAGUGAUUCCAAGUUUUUAUUUAGGUGUUGCUUACGCAUCGAAGAAAAUUAAAAAGUUAAAAUUAAUAUUUAAAUUUACUAGUCCGUUAGCCAUAUAGAACUUUUAAUUAUCUUUGUGGUAUUAAAUAAAAAACAAUUAGUAAAAACAAAAUAAAAAAGCCUGCCAUUUCUGAACUUUGAGGGAAGGCUUGCAGAGGCUGCGAGAGGUCUGUCCGUAGUGAUGUGAAUGGAGUGUUGAAGGAUCGAAUUAUCUAAAUGGGAAAAAGAGUUUAUGUUGGUCCGUCUGAUGGAGGGAUUAUAUAAUGUCUUUGGAGAAACUACUAUUAAUGAGGACCAAUUAUUUUGAGCAAUGGAUCAAUAAUUUCAUUGGAAAGUAGCGAGGCAUUGAAUUCGAUUCCUCAUCAUGUGCAGGAAGGCCCACUGUGAACAGUGAGCCGUCCUUCAUGUUGCCCUGUUCGACAAUGAAGAGUCGCUGAAGUCUAAAAAGCUUCGUGAUAUGAUUAGAUUCCUCCGUAAGCUGCUCGUCGCUUGCCUGCUACGGCUGACAACAAGUUUUGUUCCUCUCUGGUGGCAAGUGGUGUGUGUGUGCCAUCAAUAAUGGCGUUGGCCGCCCCCACCCUUCCUCUUCCUUUUGCUCGUGGAAGGUAGUGCCUCCUUUGUCACCGGUACGCUUUCGCCAAGAAAACCCCACCCCUUCGCUUCUGCCCUCUUCUAAUGGUUCCUCGCUUCAACGUGAGCGGACCAUUCCUAAGAGAAACAGACGACACCGAAGCAAUAAUAAUCUUUGAUUUUUGUGCUUUUCUUUAACCCAUCAAAUUUGAUGGUCAGCUCGUGUGUUAAGCUUAUAUGAGCUACGUUGGAUGAGUUUUCUUUAAUAUUUAAAUUACAAAAAUAUUUUAAAAUAAUAAAAUAUAUGUUCAUAGAUCAUUUAGUCUCACAUUGAUUGAGUAGUACGAGAAUCAUACCUUUUGGAGCUCAUAUGUUCCAAAAGAAUAAAAUCGUACGAGUAAACUCAUCGUCCAAAACGGAUAAUUUUCCGAUCAAAUUAUCCCUUAUCAAUAUAUUAUCUUAAGUUCUUAUUUUAUUGUGAACUAUAAAGUUGUUGAGAUUUUAAAAAUGAUGCCUAAGUUUGAUUAGUCUAAUAAUAUAUAAUAUCUUAAAACUUAAGUUUGUUAGAUUGUGGAUCAAACCUAUGUAUCCAUCUCGUUUGACUCAUUCAGAAGAUGAUAAUGUGAGAGACUAUCUUAGUCUCUUUCAAUCUUUGUCUCUCACGACUAUUCCAACCUACCUGUCUACCUACCAUCAAAAUAAUCAAAGAUUUUGGACUGUGCAUAACAGUUACUUGAUUCCAUGAAGGUGGCAUUUUAGUACUCAUACAACAGAGCAGCCAUCUGCACAUAAAAGCUACUGCCACCAGCCAUGGAACCCAGUGAGAUCACUGAAAGAGUAGGCCUUCUGUUUAGCAACCCACAACUCAACUUUGAUUGCCGAUGGCUUCCCACAGUUGCACUGCGCAUGCUACAGAAGGAUGUGGAUGGAUUGGUUGUGCCCAAUGUACUUGGUGUUUCACCAGACCACACAACUUCCCCCUGACCUGAUCAAAGUGUUUUACGGAGACACGCAGACACACAAAAGACCUGAUGAGGUUCUUAGCAGGCAAUGGGAUAAAUGCCAUAUGGAGGACUCGAAAGAAAUGCACGUAUAUGGCCUCCUGCAAGCACUGGCUCUGUUAAGCGGCGAAUUGAUCUGUUAACAACCUUUCUCGAUUAAAGGAGAGAUGGCGGAAAACAUACCAUCAUAAGCUAGUCACUCACAAACCUCAGGACACUGAUACAAAUGGUGGUUGGCUGGUCCAAGAAAAAGAGAAAGCGGGGAACAGAAUUCAGUGGGUCGGGUAAUAGUAUCCACCUGCAGUACCAUCAAAAGCUGAUGGCAUCCCGUAUGGCAUUGCGGGGUUGGGCACGAAGUUGCUGUUGGGCUUGUUAGCUAAGCCGGCCUGGCCCUGCAUCCCAUCCCCGGCAUACUGCUGCCACAUGACCUGCUCCUGUAGCAGCAGCUGCCGUUUCUUCUCCGCGUCUGCUAUCUGCACGAAGGGAGGCGGAGGGAUGCUAAGCGACGCCGCGAAUGGGUCCUGCCCAAUGGUCUUCACGGUGCCAUCAGGUGCAGGAAGGGCGAGCACGGGAGGGGCGCCGCCUCGUCCAGGCCCAGGCAAGGCCAUACUGCUCGCGCUCCCUCCACUUGCCUGGGCGUUUACGUGUUGCCUCACCGCCCCUUGAUCGUACAUGCCGUUCAGUAGCAAUGGAUGGAAGCCUCCGCCUAAUGUUGCCUUCUGCUUCGAGAGAUUGCUGGCUGUCUCCACGAGCAUCAUCUCCCAGUCUGCUUUCCCUCUUUCGGCUGCAGGGUUUUGCCACGCGGAGGUCACUCCUGUCUCGCCAUCGGAUGAUGGGAAUGCUUCCCAGGAACCAUCGGAGCCAUUAGCUGCCACCGGGGCCUGGAAAAGAGCCAGUUCGAGAUUGUCCACAGCGGCCGCGCUAUCAUCUCUUAGAUCCACCAGGUCGCCUUGCUGUUCGACAGGUUCCGCUGCGACCUUUGCUGGCUCCGGCGCCUCUUCCUCGUAAUCGGGAGGCGCUGGAAGAGCUUUUAUGCUGUUCAUGGUUUCUUCGGGUUCUUCGUCCCUGGUCUCCGUGGGCGCAGCAGGGAGGGCCACUCUAGGGGGGCUCCUCGUCCUCGUCGCUCUGUUCCUCGUGAACUCUUCCAGUAACUCCAGAAGCUUGUCGGUGAUGCGCUCCACCUCUGGGUACUCCGACGACCUGGCUACUCCUGUGUCCUUGGACCAGGCAUAGAAGACACAAAGUUCAUCGAUCAGCUUGGCGGCACGAGCAUAGGCCUCGAACGACUUGACGCAGUCAUGGUAGUCCAUGUCAAAGAAGCCGUCGAGAAGGAUGGCUAAUACAUCGGCUAUGUCAGCAUAUAGCUGGAAGCUCUCACUGAGGAGAGGAUAGAGCGCAACGAGGAUAAUCCUGCUGUGCUGUGCAUUGCCUCUGGGGCGGCAGCCGAGGAAGCUAUCGAGCACGUUCAGCAACUCGUGCAUCCUCCCCAGAACACUCUCUGGCUUCAUGCCCUUCAGCGGUGUCCGCCUUCCUCUGUACUCGCCAUUGCCAUUACCCGGAGAAGAUGAGUAUGAGGAGCUCACAUAAUUUCCGUAGGCAUAUGGAUCUGGCAGCGGAGAUCUCUGGUUACCACCGCCUCGCUUCGUUUCGUAACCCAUCCAUCCCAGGCGUCGAUCCAGAUAAAGAGCGUAGGUGCGGACGAACGUAGAAUGGUCCCAGGAAUUGGAGUGUGCCUCGUCGCAAAAAUGGGACAUGCAGAGGAGGCGGGCACCCCUGCGGUUGGCAUAGAGAAUCUCAUGUUGGAACGCAGGAUCCCCAUCAGUGAGAAGACGAUGGACGAGCAUGAGCGCCUUGAGGGCCACGACCCAGUCGCGCGUUUUGGCGAGCCUCCUCGAUACAGAAGCGACGCAGGCAAUGACGUAACUGCCGGAGUAGGAUGUCAUGUUGAGGAUCUCCCUCAGGUACUUCUCGUCGGCGGGUUCGUCGUCGUGACUCGUCGCCUUGACGAUGGCCACAUCGAGUUCAGGGGCCACGUUACUGGACAUCAUGGCCAGGCCAAUGCUGGUCUGGUCUUUCACUGCCCCCAGAGCCUUCCUGAUGCUGGGUGCCAUUGUAUGAUCUGCAAAUGCCAAUCUCGUUCAGUAUCAGAAACAGAAGGCCUAAUCUGACUCACAAAUCUGUCGAACAGAAGUGACAACAACUGGUAAGCAAUACAAGUUGAUGUUGCUAUCUAUGAUUCAUAACUAUUCAGACCAGUUGUAAUGUUGUCAUUGGAACAAGGAACUUCCCAUGUUAGAGAUAAAGUGACAUGCAGCAAUUCAUCAUCAUCAUUAUCCUCUACAAAAGAUAAACUACGGGUUGAAUUGAUACAAUUCAAUUCAUCAUCAUAAGAGAUGUAGAGGAAGACUUAAAAAUGACUUUGACUUUACAUAAGAAUUAUAAAUAAAAUUUUAUUCAUUGUAACCCAAAAAAAAUUGUAUAUAGUCAAUGCUGUAUGGUUGAAACAUCAUAGAUUAUUAUUGUAUAUCCUUAGGACUACGGUUUGAAUUGUGGUUUGACAUGGUUCAAAUGCAGUACCAUGUUUUUGAAGUAAUCAGCCCAUGUUUGACUAAAAAUGUGGUGCUUAUAACACCAUUAGCAUGACGAAUGUCAUAUGAACUACGGACAAUUUGUCGAACAGUUAGAAUUCGUCAAAAAGUCUAGUCAUCGCAUUAAUUUGGCAUUUUGAAGGAACGAAAAGAACAUAAAUUUCGUGGAUACGGCGCAUCUACUUUUAGAGAUACAACUGUGGACAUUCAAACUGUGAUGUGCUGAUAACAUAGCUUUGGAGUCCAUGCAAUUCGUCGAACACCUACAAUGCAUCUACAAGUUUAUCCUAAAUCAUGGCAUGCAUCAUCUCUUAUCACAAGUCAUUUGAUUCGAUUAAGAUAGAUAGUAAAAUAAAUCAGCAAGACUUGCGAUCAACAGCGAAUUGGACCAAGAUCGGAUUCGAAACCGAUGUUCUGCUCGAGUAUCUUCCUAGAAUCUGAUCUCAAUCUUUAUCUAGAAGAUGGCCGGUGGAAUCCAAACAAGGAGAUCUGGAUUUUAAAGCUUGCCAACUCGAUCUUUGAAAGAUGACGAUAAACCAAUCGAAUCAAAAGAAGAGAUGCAAGUCACCAAAUCGAAACAACUGACCGGAUCCUCCUCCGCCGGAGCUACUCGGACGCACCGAUCUGCCUCCGGUCCAGCACUCCUUAUAGGUCUCUCAGUCCUCGCCCUCGUUGUCUGCUGCUGACGAAGAAGAAGGAAAAGACUAAAGGAGAGGGCAAGAGAGAGAGGUUUCUCCUCUUUUCUCGCUUCCCUUCUUGUUGGAUUGGAAUCAAAGGGGAUGGGGGCGGAUCGGAACGAGAGAUUUCGGCCGAUAAAUAUCGGAAGGGAGAGAAAGAACGUUACGAGGAAGAGAGGGCCUUUUUUUAAUAUUAUUAUCGUUAUUACUUAACGCCCUUUAUAUAUAUAUUUAUUCUUACAAAUUUGGAAAUGACAUAAUUGCUUCUAUAUAUUUGAUAUGAUGUGAUCCCCAUAUAUCUUUUCCUUAAUAUCAUCAACCCACAUGGUAAUAAAAAUAUUAGGACGGUUCUCUUUUUUUUUUCGGAUGAUAUUUCUUUUUAUAAUUUCUAAACAGUAAUCUUAAUUUCUAAUAUUUCAAAAAUUAUAAAACUAUUUUUUUUUCUUGUCUAAAUCUUAAAAAAAAAAUCAUCAACUAUUUAUAAUUUUUAUAUUAGUUUUUAUCUAAAAUAUUGUGAUAGGUAAAAUAUCAUCGAUCAAUACAUGUGGCCUCUUCGUGUGAUGUCCCCAUGGAACUGUCCGCAUUGACAAUAGUCAAAGAUAAAUAUAACUACAUGUUAUGUGAUUUUAUUAUCGUUCAUGUGAAGCUAAGGCCAAUAGUAAUUGUCAUAGACGAUUGAGGAUUAUCUCAUCGUUGAAUAUUUCAUAAAAUAUUUAGUCCCUUUAUGAUUAUUUUAGCGUAAUAGUAAAAGAUUAUUUUUUUACAGCUUACAUUCACAUGCACUUACAUUGAGUUAUUAAUUUUGAUGUAAGUGGGAUCGUAUUGAAAAGCCUCUAGGUCUUCAUGCAAGUUACACUUUAUGAUGAAUUUAAUAUUCUUGGAUAAUUUUAUGCAUAUAGAUUUGGAUCAUAUUAGAUUAAUUGGAACAUCAAUGAUAUCUUCUCGUAAUAAAAUAAAGUGUAACUUUAAUAAAAAUUUAUUAGAUUUGAAUGAGAAAAUGCAUGAUGAUUUUCUAGGGAUAUUUUUAGAAUUUUUAAAAUAGGAGUGACUAUUUUAAAAUUAUGAAAAAUAGGCAUCAUUAGAAAAAAAAACCAAAAAAAAAAGAAAUUUUCUAGCAAUCACCCAAAAUAUUAUAAUGAGGAUAGAUUGAUUGAAAAAGAUAUAAAUAGCUAAAAUACUUUUAGUAUUAAUGUGAGUUGAUAUAAAUGUUAAUAUACAUUAGAACGGCACCCAUGUUGAAUGUGACUGUCUUAUAUAGAACAUAACAUUAUUUACAAUGUAAAGCCAAUCCAAACAAUUAAGAAUUUUAGAAUUUGCAGAUUUAUAUUAGUUAUUUAAAAAAAAUAAAAAAAAAAUAAUCCAUGCAAUCAAUCUCAAAUAAUUUAAACAUGUUAUUGUCAGCUUGAAAUAAUAAAAUAAAAGUUUCUUAUUUGUUUACGUUUUUUCUGCGUGAGUGACUGCUACACUUAUUUUUGUUUUGUGUGCUGAUGUCGAGAUAGAGAAUGCAUUCUUAGUUCUAAAGUUAUAUAUAUAUAUAUAUAUAUAUAUAUAUAUNNNNNNNNNNNNNNNNNNNNAUAUAUAUAUAUAUAUAUAUAUACUUUUUUGUGUUUUUUCUUUUUGUGGGAAUUCAAAUCCUUCCAUAUUCAAAAUUUUAAAUUAAAAAAAUAUGCUACCUAGAUUGAUUAGUAAAGACCUUAUUAAAUCAUUACAAACAAGUGGAACCAAAUAUCCAUCUUACCAUAAUUUUUUUAUAAAAAUAUUAAUCAUAAAUUUAAAUCAAAUUGCUUAAGACACGAUAUAUGGUUUCCAAAAUUAUGAACGAUACAUGAAAGUCGAUAUGACUCGGUCAUGCUAAUAGAUAUAUGUCACGUUAGUAUCAAUGGAAACCAAAAAAUAUUCUAUAAAUUAAAAAUGAUUGAGAGUAUUUUUCUAAUCGUAAGCAAUGAAUAGAAUAUUCUUUCCAUCAUGAUCUAUGUGUCUUUUUUUUUUUACUCUUUGUAUAUAUAAAAAGAUGUAUUCGACUAACUUUAACAUUAAAAGAAUCAAAUAGAGAACACAUUUGAUGCCGAUCAAUCCUUACAUAAUUCAAUUCUAAAAACCUGAUAUGGUCUCUUCAACCAAAAUAGAAUGAUAUAUCUAUUUUGAGCAAAAGCAUUUGAAGUAUCCAAUAUGACCUUCUUAGCUAAAAACAUAUUUAUGCACCCGAUGCAUUCAACUUGAGCAAAAGCAUAGUCACUUCAUUUGCCGAAUUAUUUUUAUGUAUUCAAUAAGCCACCGAUAUUAUUAGAAAGUUACAAAAUCGGCUCAAUAUUGGUAAAAACAACUAAAUAAGUGAGCUGACCGAUGAAACUUUAUGAAUUUGACAACCAUAGUAUAUUUGUUUUCCCUUUGUUUUAGAUACUUCUUCAAAUCCUUUUUAGAUACUCAAUUGACAGUGGCAACACUGGAUGAUGAGAUGAGGCUUUUCCCAACAAAGGUGAAAAACAAAAACAAAAAUGGAAUAGUUGACUCACACCAAAUUGUCAAAAAUGACAAACCUAAAUUGUCAUCCAUGGAAAAGUUGACCAUGGUUUUGACUUGUCUUCUAAAUUGUGCUCCUGUCUCCGGCUGCUUGUGUGCCUCCACCUUGAAACAUCUGAUCUUAACAUGGGAUGCUCUUUCUCAUCAACAAUAGCCACUGUAUGUGCUCCAAGAAUCCGUGAAGCAUAGGAAGUGUGUGGUGAGAACUUCAGAUGAAUCCAAGCAUCAGAAAUGUAACAAAGGAUAUGGAAACCGCUGCAAAGAGUUGAUGAUGAUUGCCAUCGGCGUGCAGUCGAUAUGGAAACUGCAGCAAGGUGGUGAAAUGAUGAGUCGUGGUCAUCUUCUUUCUCCAGAAUACAUGCAGUAGGAGUCCAUCAGUUGUGCGGAGGGGGUUGAGGAAGCAUCAGCGUGGCGAGGAAUGGCACCACGAGAACUGCUCCUGUAAUGGAAUCCCGAGUCUACAUCAUGACAUGCCUUUAGAUGAACUCUCGGGCGGAGGAACUGAUAUGAUCUUAACCGAACCAGUGCUACUAUGUUGGUCGUCGACGCAUUCAAACACCACAUGGCGAAUCAAUCGUCGAGUACUUCCUUUUCCUUUUUCCCCCGUCUUGAAUUCCCUGCAACUUUUGCUUUUCUGAGACCAGCCAGAUCUCGCAGCAGAUGCAACCACAGGUCGCUUUGGACGCAAAGGGAAUAGGCGAUGAACAGCGAGUAUGUGUGUGUGCAAUGGCAAAGCGUUUGCUCUCCGUCUGCUCCUGUCUUUUCCAUCUCCAGAGUGAUCAUGACUCCAUGGAAAUCCACUCGACCUUUAGACUCUCAACACCAAGUAUAUGAAUUGCAUCAUAGCAUUAUAAUAUGAAUCACAUGAGGUGCAUGAGAUAUGGAAAUUCUGAUUCCCACAACCGAUAGGGAAUACUACUAAUCGUCCCGAGCGCCUGAAUUGGAAGCAUCUGUGUCAGGGCUUGUGAAAACUAUAUUGUUGGUGUAGGCCAGUGGGGGAUGAUGCAAAUGAGGCCAACCAUGCAUCACUCCGGUAAACAAUGGAAAAGCUCACGCAUCCCAUCAGCUCCCACACCCUGUGCAAUCAAUCACACCGUGUGGGCUCCUUCCGAGCAACCCCAACAUUCCAAGAUUCCACCAUCAAAUCAAACAAUGACAACAGAGCUGUCCUAGGAGUCGAUUGAUAUCCACUUGUCUACCUCUUCUUCUCCUCUCCUUUCUUCACCUCAGCACACAAAAUCUAGAGUUCUGUAGCACUAAUUGGUACUGUCAUUCACGGAAAUCCUUGUCAUCUUCCUCUUGGAUUGGCCAUCAUAAAGUUGGCGGUGGGAAGAGUCAUUAAAGUUAAGCCGGAAGAGUGGUGUGUGUGGGUCUCUGUUUGAGGAGUAUUGCCUCUGCAUACCGUGCCUUGGCGUAAUCAGACUCAAAAGGUGUAUUCAUGGCGAAGGCUGUCUCUUUCAGCGUCAUUUUCUCAGUGUCCGGGUGCGGUUUAAGACGAAGCUGGGUUUAUUGACUCGAGAAUACUUGGAGGACUUCUCAUGGUGGCGGCCUCUUCGCCCUCCACCACCACCACCACUCGUAAAGCUAAAGCUGCCCUCUCGUCUUUGCUCUCCCUCUCUCUCUCUCUCUCUCUUUCUUACACACAUAUGUAUGCCAUUAGGAUUGCUGGCCAAACCAGACAAUUAAGGCUUGCACUGUUGACAUACAUUGUCAUGCACAGAAUUCCGAGCUCCCACACAGUGCACACCUCUACUGUGGAUUGCACUUCUCGUGCUUGCCCUUGUGGUGCUUUUGCGACCUUGGCUUUCUCCAUUCGCUCACACCAACACACUGUCUCUCUUAGGUUUCCACUUCUACCAUCUGACAACCAAAACCCAGGGAGGCUUCUCUCUUUUCUCUCUUUUCCUUUUAUUUGUACAUCGCCUCAGACUCCCUUUAUUCUCUUAAGGGCUACGAAGAGGAGGGGGAGACCGCCUUGGUCUUCGGGAAAGCGACGAGAACCCAGAUUCCCUGAGGCAUGCACCCCUUAAGCUAAAAGGACAUGGAUCUUUCGGCCAUUUCACCCUUACACCUUCCUUUACCUCGCAUUUCCUCCUCUCUCUCUCUCCCUCCUUCUCGUUUUCCAUCGUUUCAGUGCAUGACUGCGUGCUCUUCCACUCUUAUCGCUAACGAAUUCUUGGUGGGUUGCAUGGAUUUUAGUGAGAUCUUGGCUUCUUCAGCUUUGUUCUAUAGCACAAUCCUACAUACAUCAAUAUGUGUGACGCUGAGGAGUGCAAAAAAGGAGGAAGAGAGAGAGAGAGAGAGAGAGGAUAAAUAGUUGUGACGUGUUCGAGGAAGAACACAAAUCAAAUCCAACACCACACUGCGCAAAAUAAAGUUCAUGUCUCUCUGUCUCCCAUCUGCAUGCGUGCAGAUGUUCAUGGAUCCAUGUAUGAAUGAGAAUACACAUCAAUGCAUUGACAUACUCGAAACAUUAAUAUGAAAAAGAUAUAUAUAUAUAUAUCCAUCAUAAGAUCACACAUGUGAGAACCUAUCAUUUGCUGAUACAUAGCACUUAUGACCACUGAUUAAUCCAUUGAAAUGCAGAAGUUAAAUGGACAAAUUCCUUGUAUGGAACGAUUGAGGUUGUCAAGCUUACAGUGGAUGACAAUGCAUGGGAAGACAUGAAUGAAUACACAUGGAUUCCUGCAUGGAAUGUUGGUCAAAAGCUGUUCUACUUGGCUAUAUCUCAAAAGGUGAGAACUAAUGCUUCAUAAGAGCUUUAAUCUGAAUGGAAUCACACAGAAGUGCAGCAAAAGGCUUCAAUUGGAAACACUGCCACUUUAAGCGAUAUAAUAGAUCUAGAAGUUGAAGAAGAUGAGAGCUUCUCAAUGGAAUUUUCUUGGUUGUGGAGAUCGAUCAUCCAGGUGUUGAAGUUCAUGAACAAAAGCAUUGUCAUGAGUUUACAUGUAACUUCAUUUUCCAUAUCAUGGCAUCUCUGUGCCUAAAUGAAGUAUUAUCGUCCAUGCCAACUCAGGAUCGAAAAGCUUCAACACUUCAUGCAUUAAGAUUCUAUAAGCGGAGUGUAAGAUACAACAGCACAUUAAUUAGAGAACAUGAGGAACAACACCAAUCCAAAUAAUCUGAAACAAGAAACCUACCUACCAUUGCUAGAGCUUCUUUUACAGAGGUUUUGCUAACAGAUGCAUGCCAUCCACCAUAUCACAAGUUAAACCGGUUUUUAGUACUCACUCUACUGCUUCAUCUUCUUCCUCCUCCAGUAGGUCUUCUUGAAGCCAUUGCAAAAAAACUAAGCUUCCACGUUAUAGAACCAUCAGUGCAGAGGACAUCGCAUUAGAAUAUGUUGCUAGAUGAAGAGUUGAAUCCGGAGAGAUCUGUCAUCCAUCCUCCGGUGCUACUGCUGCUGCCUCCGCCGCUCCAGAAUUGGUCGUUGCGAGAAACACCAAGAUACGGUCUCGGAAAACCAAGCAGCUGUUGGCUGUCAUCCAUCUUCACCGAAGCCAGUUGGGUGAUGAGUCCGGAAUUGGUCGGUUUUGUUUGAGCUUGCCCUGUCGAUGAACCACCGAUGAACCCACCACCAUCACCGACGAAAGAGAAUAGCCCGGAAGCCGGUGUUGGUGCAGGUGCCGGCGGCUGUGGGAGGUCCAGUCCGCCUAUCAGAGAAAACUGCUGCAUUUGCUGAAGCCUCAGGUUCUCCAUCCCGACGCCGCCGCCUGGGGCGCUGCUGCCGCCGCCACCCAGCUGGUAGUCCAACGUAUCCACGGGUUGGAUGCCUGAGAAGCUCACACCAAAGUUGGUCGCUGCGAAGUCGGGAAGCGGGUGCAACGAGGCCAUGAACGGCAGCUGCGAAGCGAGCAGCGUGGUGGAUGCGAUUGCACCACCUACGCCCGACGACGUGGCCGUGGAAGACGAGGAGGAGGCACCGGUCUGGGUGGUGGUAUUCGAGGACUUCGAGGAGCUACCGCCGGCGGUGGACUUGGUCCUCUUGUUGCGCCGGCAACCGCCGCCGACGGGGACGUUUCGGAGGGCCCCCCCUCGCGUCCAGUAACGCCGGCAUGUCUUGCAGAAAUGGCGCGGUUGCGACAAGGAGUAGUUGUUGAAGUAGCAGAACUUGGUGUUUGUGGAGUCGCAACGCGGGCACUUGAGCCCGGGCUCCGGCUGCGGUAUCUUUGCCAGCCGAGCUCGGUCCGCCAUCGACCCGGGCCUCAUCAGGCCAGCCAUACCACCGUCAGGGCGCGGCGCUGCCAAUCCUGGUGGAAGCUGGGAAGCCUCACCGCCACCGCGGCCGCUGUUUCCCUGCUGGUGAGCCUGUUGCUGCGGCAACGAACAAGCAGAAAACAGAAAGAAAGGGAUAAAGCACCAAAUCGGAGCCACCGGUGUAUUCAAGCAGAGAUUUCGAAGCAAAAGGAUGAGGAUUUUUGGGCUCUUUCGUUAUACCUUUUGGACAUGGAAGGCGUCGGAGGAAAAGAUGAGACAAGGAAGAAGAGAGCUCACCUGGUUCCAAUUAGGUGGAUCAAGAAACACAGGAACUGAUGGGAAAACCAUGGUUGCACUCCGUUCCUCCACCACACCUUCUUCCUUGGCGAUCUAUUUCUCUUUUGUCAAAAGGUUGAUGGGGUUAAGAAGUGGUGGAGGGAGUUGCAGAGAGCACAAAGGAGGAAGGGAAGGGAAGAGAGAUAGAGAAAAGGAGAGAGAAAGGAAAAGGAAGGGUCUUAUUUCUCUCCUGAGUGGCUUAUAUAUUAUAAUUGUCAUGGUUGUGUCUGGUUGGUAGAGAGAGAUUCUUAGCCUUUAAGCUUUUAGGGUGAUGGCAUAUGCAGGAAGGGAGAAGGAGGGAAGUGGUGGCCGCUUCAUGCAUGACAAAGGUGAGGUAGAAAUGAGAUGGGAGGGCUACAUCCUCACUGUAAAAGAAUAUAAUGGAGAGACAGAUGGCUAUUCUACAUGUUCUAAAGAGAGAAAAAGGUAGGAGGGGAGGGGGAGGGGGAGGGGAUUAAAGCUUGUUCUGUCCCUGGUAGUAGUAUCUGUAGGCAGAAGAUAAAUGAAGAUGCAGGAGUCUUAAAGCUUGACAUGUAUAUGUGUGUGUGUCUCCACAUGUCAUGUGGGUGUCAACAGCACCACAGUGUAGAUGAUUGACAUGUAGUCGAUGAUGUGUUCCAUUUAUUCCACCGGACAUGAUGGAUUGCUUGAGUGAUGAGCACUUCAACCUUCUCCGUCUGUCUCAUUAAAGUGGAUGGUAGAGUUUCUUGUGGAAGCUUUUAGGGUUAUCUUCCACUUCCACUUUGCACAUUCUAUUCAUCCUCUUGCUCGUGCUAUGAUCGAUCCUUUUUGUUGGUUCCAAUUGUAUAAGCUCAUAAAGAGAAAGUGAUUAAAUGACAUGGAGAAGCAUAAGAGACGUAGAUUCGUAACUCAUUUUGUAACAUCUUACGAUAAAUAUCUUACGAUAAUUUUUUUUCUAAUUUUUUUUAUUUUUAACACAUAAAUAAGUGAUUUUGGUAUAUCGAACUCACUUAAUAUGCCUUCACGACUUAUCUUUUGCAUUCAACUUAUCAUCUUAUAAUCAUAUUUUGAUAAAAAUAUUUUUUUAUCAAAUUUGAUUAAUUUUUUUCUAACGAAUUAACAUUAUACUAUUGUCUAUAAAUUUAUAAGUUUCUCUGGAUAAGUGAAUAAGAAUUAUAAGAACCAAAAUAAACCAAAUAAGAAGAAAAAUAUGACCAUUUGAUGUUUUCUUUCCUUUUGUUUGGUUUUAUUAUAAUUAUAAUGGGUUAGUGAAAUCAUAAGAGUUGGGGAUCUUUGGCUUCUAUUGUGUGCAUGUAAUGGACCUUCUAAGAUUCAUACAUCCCAUGAUGUGAUCGUAUGUACCACAUGCAGUUGAUUGAUCCUCCACCCACAAUGCAUGCCUUAUCCGUAGUGAUACCCAAUUAUGUGAUCAUACUAAAGAAUUGGGUGAUGUUUCAUUGGUUGGGUUUCUUAUUGCACCAAAAUUAUAAUCAUUGGGUAGAUGUAAAAAACAAUUAUUGUUCUUUUGUAUUAGUGACGAUAAUUAUUUCAUUCUCAAUUUCAUUUUUAUCGGACAAAUUAUCCUACGUUACCAAUCUGUACAAAUUGGAAAGACGUGUGGGACGACUCCGCCCAACGGUGGGCCCCACGCCGCAAUUAUGGGCCGGGCCCACGUUAUGAUCCAACCAAGUGAUGGCGCCGCGUCCCCGCGGGGCCCGUGCGGGGGUACGUACGUGCUGCGGAAGUAGUGGGUCGGCGGAUGGGGUCCACCAAACGGAGGGCCAUAAGAUGCACUGGAAAGCACCCCCGACUCCUACGGGCUGACCCGCACGUGUCAGGAUCUUACGGUGAUGAUGAGGUACAUGUAGACUGUGCACCAAGCAAUCUCAUCCGUCGGACUCUAUUUUCGUGUACCGGUGGAUUUUAAACCUAAUUCAAAAUCUAUUUGGAGUUUAUUAUUAUUUCAGAAAUUAUCGUGAUAUAUAUUUAAGCAAACUAAAAUAUUAGAUAGAAUCUUUGAGUGAUUUAUCUAAAAAAAACUAUUUUUUCUUUCUUUCCCAAAUAAUAUCUUUAAUUUUUGUCGAAAAUAUCGUAUCUUUAGCCUAUCGUCACCAUCCUCCUUCCCCACCCAUUGUCUUUGUCUCUUCUUUGAUGCUCCUAUCUCAAAUGUAACGUCUCCAUUGUGUUGCCUCAUUUUACACCCAUCACCUAUCAUUAUGCUCGCUUAUCAAAUCCUAUAUAUUGUUUUCGUCAUCUCUGUAUUUCUUUAUUUUUUUCUCAUCAAUUAUAUAUGCUGCCUUCGCCUUUAUUCUUCUUUAUGGGACAAAGCCGAUUGAAGUGAUAAGUGAAGAAGAUAGUCAACACUAACGAUAUGAAGAUGACAAUGAGAAAAUAUUUUUUUUAUAAUUAUAGAAAUUAGAGAUAUUAUCUUAAAAAAAUAUAUGCUAUAUGAUAAAAAAAACAAAAAAGAGAGUUUUUUUUUUAAUGAAAAUCAUCCUUAUAUUUUAUUAUUUUCAUAUAAUAAAAAACCAUACAAAUCUUUGGUGGAUUAUGUUAAUUGUUUUAUAAUUUAAAUUCAAUUUUGUAUUUUUUUUUUCAUAUAAUUUGAAACCCAAAUCCAUCUUAUUUAGGCUUCAACGGGCGGGAAUGCAGCUAACGCUAGUAGCGACAUCGUUCAUCCGCUUACCAGACGAAACAACAUAUUACAGUGGACGCGAUCGGGAAGAGCGAGUCGACGCAUCAUCUCCUCUGCUUCUCCGACAUAUGACCCAGAGAAACCUUAGACCACAGAUCUCCGGAGCAGAGCUGUGAUGGCGGGAUUCCUUUCCAAGCUGAGACGGAUCCACCACUCGGUCUACACUGGACCCUCUUGCUCGGAUGGUAAUCUCGAUCUCUCGCCUUCAUCCUUGUCAAAUUUCUCAUUGAAUGAAUUGGUGUCUCAAAGAUUAUAUAAAAAGAGUCGCUUUCUUCUUCGUUUUUUUCGUUAGAGGUUUGGGGAGAACCUGGUGUCAGCGACCAUUACCAUAGCUUGGAUCAAGAUUAUGUGUUACUUGGGCGUUUUUAUGAGGUAAUUGAUUGAAUUCGAUUUGAAUCUUUGAUUUCCUAUGAAGCACCGGCGAGAAGGCUUUUCUUUUAGGGGAAGAACUUCACUUUUCCCCCUUCUUGAGAGACACGGACUCAUGUUCUUGUAAUUGGUAAAAUGGAUUUGGUUAUCGGUACUCAUAAAGACCGAUUGUUGUUAGUAUUAUUACUGAGAUAGGAUAAAUGCCAGAAGAGCUUCUUCCCAUGCUUAUUCCUCUUGGCUCUUGACACAUGGUAAAAUGCUUAUUUCUCUUGCCUUAUGCACUACAUUGUCCAUGCCUUAUAUUGAGUUAGGUAAUUAUUCUCUGGUUUCUUGUAAUUAAGAACAAACAUGGUACACUGGAAUCUUGGAAGAGACAAAGGGCUAGAUGGAUUAAACAAGCUGAUUUUGUCCCAAAUAGAAAUAAACAUAAAUCUCAAGUACACAGCGAGAGGAUUUCUGCUCUCUGUGUGAUCCCUAUGCUAUAAUAUGCGUUCUAGGCCAUAAAUCUCAUGUGGGUUAGUGCUUUUCAUCAAAUUUUGGUAUUGGAUUUUAUUGUUGAUCCUGCAGCUUGUUCUAAGGUGAUUGUUUUGUGAUCUUCAAAUCAAAUACAUUCCAUAGGGGACUUCGGAUAUUCAUGCAUACAAAAACCACAUGAUUUUAUCACGUUGUACCAUGGACAAAAAUUUUAGAUUGACUCCACUGCUCAUUGGAAAUAGUUGUUUAUGUAUGAUUGUCCCCCAACUUUCACCUUAAGAAACUGAUGGAUUUGUUUUCCUUUUUACCAAUUUUCUACAAUUAUUGUCAUGAGACACGAAUACUCAGAGUCUGUUGGAUAGGUAUGCUUGGCCAACCAAUAUCGAGGUCAAGUUACGUGAGUGAGUAGGAGUAGGCGCUCAUGUUAUUUUCUGCAUUCAAUUUUUGUUGUAGAUAUUUGAGGGUGCAGUAAGUGUCAAAAUUUUAUGAAGAUGAGAAAAGUGAUGGAAUGAUUGAAAGCAUUUGGGAUGAGAAAUUCAAAAUUUGAACUGAUGGAACACACACCAUGUGGAAGAGUUUUCCAAUAUCAUGAUUAUCAACUUUUUCGGAUAUGUAAAUUCAUUUUACUUUUGAGGUUGCUAUUGCUGUGUAACCGAAUUCCAAAAUUUGAUUAUAUUUUCUAACAUAUUGAUUUUCUUUAGACAUGAUACAGAAACAAUAUGCUGCUACUUUAGUUCAGUCAUAUUUAUCACGCUUAGCACAAUGCAAAUUCUACUUCACUUGACUGGCACUACGUUGUUCUUAAGCAUAUCAAUAACACUAGUUUUCUUGAGCGUAAGUAUUAGAUUGUUCCGUUCAGUCUACUAUAGCCACUGAACUAAACAUUUUAUCCUGUACCAUUCUCUUUACAGAUCAUUAGGUGUUCUUUCUUCUGUAAGCAAGAGGCACUUGGCUUUGCACCUUUCGGUUAUUAUGGUUUAGGUAUGAAGUUUCCAGUUAGAUAUGAUGUGUCAAUCCCUGCCCCUGCUACACUUACAUGAUCUAUUUAUUUGUUAUUUACAAUGUCCAGGUACAGCACCUUUCAGUUACUGUGCCCUAUUGGCAUCACAAGUGAGGUUGCCGAAUGCAUUGCCUCACAUCAAGGUACUCAAAACAUGGGAAUCAAUUUACCUGUUUCAAGUAUGUUUGUAUCUUAUGUCAAUUUUAAAUGUUUUCUACCUUUGAAAUCAAUACUUAUUGUGUCACAUCAAGAUACUUAAAACAUGGGAAUGAACAUAACUUUAUAAGUCCUUUUAAACCUUUAGAAUCAAUAUUCCUUGGUCAUUUUUUGUACAUGAUCAAAGUUUGAGAAGUUAUUGUAUUAGGAUACCCAACACAUGGGUGCUGCUUGGUUUAAAGUAAAAGCUGAUUACCUGUAAUGCCAAAUUUCUGUACGGUUUAUCCUAAAGCUAGACACAUAAAAUAAUAUUGAUAGAUCAGUAGUUCUCUGGCAACUGACGUAUACAGUGGAACUCCCAGAACCAAGUUUUAGUUUUUCUUGCCUUGUUGAUUUUAUAUGCGUGGAAAAAAGAUAAGAAUCUUCUAGAUAAGAAUGGAAUUCAUAAUAGGGGGCCUACUCUUGUGUUAAAUAGGACUCUGUUGAUUACCCUUUAGUGUCACACCGACCUCUACUCUCCUUGAUUCUCACUUUAGUGGUUGUUAUCAAUCUUCCUGUUGGUCUGUUCCUCAUAGCUUGUUUGCAUUAGAAAAAGGUUAAUUAUGUUAUGUUAUACUAUAUGUAAAUAUGACACAAACACACACACAUGGAAAAUCACAGACUUUAAUGCUUUCAAAUAGUAUAUCCAAUUGUGUGUCAUCAGAAGUAAGAAAAAAUUGAAACAGAGAAGUUCUAGUAAAUGAGGUCAAUGUUGUAAACUUUGCAAAUAGCUAUACGGGGAAAACUUUGUUUCAAAAGCUUCUUAUCACUCCCAUUUUUUGCUGGAAGAGAGUGCUCUGACAUUAAACAAUAUCCACAAGACAAUGACUUUAUUUCACUAGAUAUGUGAGUGUUCACGUGACAGUGUAACUUCUGUCACUAGUGCAAUACUGAUGAGGCUUUUUCUAUUUCUUCUUCUUGGGACAUCUGGAGGUUUGAGAAUGAUCAUCAGGGUUACAAUUUUAACCAAUUUCUGUACAUGUUAAAUGGUUUUUUGCUUUGUGGCUAGUGCAGGUAUUGCCAUUUGACUAGCUUCAGUAACACAAGGUUUCCACUCUUAUUUUUGCUGAAGAAUUGCUGCAUUACUUCUGCUUGCCUUGCGUAAUUCUGAAACUCCCUUCUUUUUCCCCCCAGAAUAUAGUACAUUCCCGUGCCAUAUUUAAAAGUUUGGCAUAAUUUUAGACUGAAAUUUUGGCUAGUAACAGACAGGAAAGAAGUACUGCUUGGUGUUCAUCUGAUAGGAUUCUUGCUGCUUCCAGUUGUGUGCUAUCCAAGGGAAGUAAAGCUGAUUGGAAGAUAAGGAUUUGUCGGUUCACUGGCUCAAUCUCAUCACUGAGGACUGAGACAAAGUUGGUGGUGGCCAAGCAUUUCUGUGGGCACUCUGUGUGUGGAGCUCCCACCCCCAUGCUCCGCACCUUCCUGGUAAUAGAGAUGCGAGGUCAUGGUCAUCAUACGUCUGGACUCUUGCAAGCCACAUACAAAAGCAAGAUAGUUAUGUGGGGGAGCUCCACAUUCACAGUCGAAACUAAUCAUGCACGGGCCCAGAAAAGUAUCUGCAGAGACGUAUUUGAUUCUUCCUCUUCUGUUUGGUUUGCGACCUGCUCUGCUCAUCAGGAUCAGUAGAUAACUGUACAUGGGUGUCAGACGGCAUAUGCACUCGGAAUAUUCAUCUUCAUUAGCAUAUAGAUAUGAGUCAGUAUCUCGAUUACUUUUUAGUGGUAUAAUUCAAUGGUUGCAACGUUCUCAUCCACAUAUUUAUUUGGCUCUACGUUUCAGAUGCCCAGGACAUGAAACACAGACGCUGCAUGUAAAUAAUGGAAGAAGUCUGCAUCCAAAUGUGCAACAACAGAGGGCAAAAAGGCAAGUGGUCCAGCAAGAAGCUUGUCAAGACUUCAAGUUCAACUUGUCUUUCCCUUCUGUAUGCUUCAGCUGGUGGUAUCUCAACUUUAUGUUCUCCAAACCAACUCGGUGAGAUACCAAUAUGAUCCAUCAUAAGACUUAUCUAAUAAUAAACAUCUUAAUGAUUAUAUUGACUUCCUCGUAACCAUAAGCAAUGUCAUCCGUCAAUUCAUAGCAUUACAAAGUGCACCAGACUAUAAAGGAAAAGGACUCUGUUUCUGUUCCCUUCCAUGUGUUGCCUGGUGCCUGCCCAUAGUUUAGAAUCCUUGGAUCUAAUAUGGAGAUACAGUCCAAAUGAGAUGAUGUGGAACAAGUGGUCGUAGCCUUUCUUUUUUACCACUCUAAGUCAGUAGUCUCCUUUUAAACAAUGACUUAAGGAUAGGCUUUUAGUUUCUUCCCUUCUGGGGAUAUUGAUAUUCUUACAUUGCACCUUUAUUCAUGGUCAUUUUCUUGAAUGCUGUGACUAUUGACUUGUUUGGGGAUGAAUUGCAUCCAUGGAUCUCACUGUGAGGAGUUGUUGGCUCUGCUUUUGAACUGUCAAAGCUGAUAUCCAACAUGGAGAGUGCAAUAGAUAUAGGUCUACUGGCUCUGAAUAGCCUACAGAUUCUAGACCGGGUAUCAAUUAUUGAAAAGUGCACCAAUGAUUCAUGAAGCUUUUUCGGGGGUGGAUAAUAAUUUCAACUACUCAACAGUGAUUGAUUGAUCACACCAUCAUCAGUAAGCUUUUUUGCAAUCUUUCACUGAAGGGUCUCUACAGACUUUUUUUUUUUUCACUAGUGUUGUAGUUCCCAGCAUGUUCAAUUUCCUGGGAAUACCAGAUGACUUUUGAUUCCUGUUUUCUGAAUUAUUCUUGUGUCUCUGAAACUCUGUGGAGAUCUUAUGAAUUCAUCACUUCUUAAACCUGUCCAAAUUAGCUAUGCUACUGAUGGUCUUUUAUACAUGCUGUUACAUGAAGAACAUUCAACUCUGUUGAUUUCUAGUUCUCAUAAACUUGAUGCUCACAGAAUUAUGAUUAUGUCAUAAAAUUUUAGCAUUAUAGUGAAUAUGUUAAUCAUAGAUUUCUCAUUUAAGGUGCUGAGCCUUUGCUUCAACUUUGAACUUGCAGAUUUUGUUGGAUUAAAAGUAAGCUGAUGUGUGCCCUUACAACUAUUGCUUGCACUAGUUAUCAAACUGCUUGUUGCAUCCAAAAAUAUUCUUUGGUAGGUACAGAAGCACAACUUUGAGACACCAAAGGUUGCUUACUGCAUGCAGCUUAUCUACUUGGCAGUUUUCAGCUUAUAUAAGCAGCUGGAGAAGUUGGAAUAACACUACAGGCAUCUUAAUAUUCUACUCUUGUCUUAGACUGAGAGGACUGGUUCUCUAUUCUAUUCGGAAAUAUCUUAUAAUUUCUAUCAAUAAUGUUUAAAUACCAAGGAUUUUAUUUUAUUAUAUUUUCAUUUUGUGAAUCUCCCUUGGUAUUGUGUUGUGUUAAAUCAUUUAUUUUCUUUUAUGUAUGACUAAAAACCGUGUGAGUCGAUACGAGUAUUCAAAUACAUAAAAUAUUUUUUUUUUCAGUAUCAAAUUAAUCCUAAUUUAAUCAUCAGAGAAAAUUCACUAAGCAAACAUUCUACGAUUAUGGAUCAUUUGCAUCGUUAAAAAAUUACAUAAAAAAUUUUCAUCAUAAUUUGUGUCAUGAAAAUAUGACAUUCAACAUUAUUCUCUCAUGGGAUCAUUCACAUUGCAUCGAAAAUUUUCAUUCUAAUUCAUACCGAAAAAAAUGAGAAUCCUUAUCCGACACUAGUUUUACAAGAUCAUUCGCAUGAAAAGAAAAAAAAAAUCUGAAUUCAUGGACUGAUCAUCAAAAUUUGAUACUUGCAGGAUUUGAGUAGUAUAUGUUUUUUGUUGGGGGUGUUUAAGAGUUAAGACCUCAACGCUCAUAUCCAUCCUGCUCUACACUCCACCAGCAUGAGUCCCUACCAGCGUAUGAAAGCGUCCUAUCUAUUGCUCACAUGCCGAGAGAUAGGCACAUUAGACCCAUCUCUUUUUGACCAACACCUCUAUAAUUGAAGAGAAGGCCACGCAACCGACCCAAGCCGGCGUCGCAGUGACACACAGACUCUCUCUCUCUCUCCCUCCCCCUUUGCAGAUAAACCAAACAACGAGCGGAAGCAACAAUAAUAACUCCCCCCCUCUGAUUUGUGCAGCACGCCCCUCAGAUGGAGGCGGCGAGCGCAAAGGAAGCUUCAAGAGGCAUCCUCCACCACCCUUCGCCGCCGCCUCCCUCGAUCUUCCGAAGGUAAUCUUCUGCGACUGAUCACUCUAACUGAGGCGCGCUAGGGUUAGGGUUUGGGCCAGGCCUCCUCUCGAUCGGUGGCUGGGAGAGGAUGGGGUCGGAUCUGAUCCUACUUAGUCGGCUAUUCCCUCCCGUAUUUGGAGGGUUCCGGGGGGUUUAUUAGCGGCGGAUCCCGGAAGUUGUCGACUUUCUUUGUCUUUUGUUCCUGUUCGAUUCCUCUUUCCUUGUUCUAGGGUUCGCUCUUUUGAUCGUGAGUGAUAGUGGAUGAUAGAAAGGGUCUUCCUUUUUGUUUUUUCGAAAGGGAGAAAUUUGUUAUAGUUUUUUGUUUUUAAUUGGUGGUGGGAUUUAUAGGAUGGAAUUGUGAGGAUUUCAUGUGGUUGUGGAUCUCGAAUCUUGAUAGAUAGAUAGGAGCCGAAGAGGAGAGAAGAGGUGAUCGAGGGAAGAAGAGACGGAGAGGGGCGAGCGAGAGCACGCCAUGGGGGAGUCCCUUCUUACUGCUCUCUCCAUGGACCAUCACCACCACCACCACCACCACCCCUCGACCCUUCUGUCCAUGGACCCCAGCGGCGUUUCUCAGCCGUCACUCGCUGCAGCUUCCGCCCAUGACGACUACGACCAUGAGCUUCUGGGCCAGCAGCGCCCGCAGAUCACCCUCUCCGGCCCUCCUGACAUCAAUCUUCCACUCGCCGGUGACCGCUCCCCUCCCCAACAGUCGUGGAACCCUGUCUCCUGCGACAUGUUGGAUGUCCGCCUCGGAACCCAGGUGUAUGACGCUGACACCGCGCUCAACCUCCCCAAGGUUGGGAUCAUUCCUGCUGGGGGGCGCAAGUGCGCCAAGCGAGGGGAUAGCAUUUGGGGUGCAUGGUUCUUCUUCAAUUUCUAUUUCAAGCCUGUGCUCUCUGAGAAGUUCAAGGGCAAGAUCAUCCAUGAUGCAAAUGGCUUCUCGGGUUUCGAUAAGUCCGACCUGUGUCCUGAUGUGUUCCUUGUUCAGCAUGACAUGGAGAAUAUGUACAUGUGGGUGUUCAAGGAGCGACCGGAGAAUGCACUUGGAAAGAUGCAGCUGCGGAGCUACAUGAACGGGCACUCGCGUCUUGGGGAGCCUCAGUUCCCAUUCAGCGUCGACAAGGGCUUUGCAAGGUCACAUCGGAUGCAGCGCAAGCAGUAUAGGGGGCUGUCAAAUCCACAGUGUGUCCAUGGAAUUGAGGUCGUGUGGUCACCAAACCUUUCUAUGGUUUCCGAGGCGGAUUGCAAGAAGUGGGUGGAUCUUCUUGGGAGGGACCUGAAUUUCUCGAUUCCACCAGAGGCUAGUGAUUUUGGGUCAUGGAGAAAUCUUCCGAGCACUGAUUUUGAGCUCGAAAGGCCACCACCUCCUUUAAAGAAUAUUUCUCACCUUAAUUCGAGGAAAUUGCUUAAUGGCACAGGCCUUAAUCUGUCAACACAACCAUCUCAUGCAGGUGGAGAUUGUAUGGACCUUUCACCAAAAUGCAGCAAACGCAGGAAGGAUUUUUUCCCCCACGGGACAGAUGAGGACUGCUGCUUGAGUAACAACUCAUACUGCCAAGAUAUGGAAAUUCGCCCUUCUGAACCGUCAUGGGUAAAUGAGUUUACGGGUGUUAUGAGGCAUGCGUGUGGACCGGUGACUGCUGCGAAGACAAUAUAUGAGGAUGAAGAAGGGUAUUUGAUCAUGGUUAGCUUGCCUUUCUCUGACCAGCAGAAGGUGAAAGUCUCUUGGAAAAACAAUCUUACUCAUGGAAUAGUAAAGAUAUCAUGUGUCAGUACUGCUCGGAUGCCUUACAUAAAAAGGCAUGAUAGAACCUUCAAGCUGACAGAUCCUUCCCCGGAGCAUUGUCCUCCAGGGGAAUUUGUGAGGGAAAUACCUCUUGCUACACGAAUUCCUGAAGAUGCCAAUCUGGAAGCAUACUACGAUGAGACGGGAACUGUUUUGGAGAUUAUGAUCCCUAAACAUCGAGUUGGAUCUGAGGAACAUGAAGUUCAUGUGUGCAUGCGCCCUCCUCAUCUUGGAUCCAAUGAACUUCUGUUAUCUUGAAUACGGUAAUGUGGUGUGUAGUUGUGGCUAUGGUCAGUUUCAUUGUCUACUAACACGUUUAUGAUAAGAGGAACCGAUGCAUUAAAAGUUUAUCCUUAGCAUGCAUGCGGCCUUCUGCAACUGGCUUUUGCUGAUUGACUUGGUGCUGUCUUUUGUUUGUUUGGAAAAUAAACUGGGAUGAGACUGGAGCUGCAGGCAUACAGUAUAUAAGAAAAGUGGUAUCAUCUAAUUAUAACUUUGUGGACUUCUCACGUCUGGACUGGGGAAUUAAGACAGAUUAUGAAUUCUUCUGUUUCACUUUGCCCCUUACCUGAUUAUUUUGUGGGUAAAGCUCUGCUUUUGGGGCUCAUCAAUGUGUUUACAUCCAAGUCACACUAGUCUCCACAGAACAUGUUGAGUCAAAAACUGUAUAGUUAUUUGUAUUCGGUACUUUAAGGUGGUAGUAUUAUGAUGUUGAUUCAUAAAGGAACUAUCUUUUGUAUUUUCUAAUUCUGAAACUGUCAAUAGUUUGGUAUCAUUUAACAGAAACUUUUCUAAGUGAAACCACUGAAUAUCACUUCAGUAUGUUGCUUGUUUCCUUCUUGCGGUGUUCAUAAGUUUGCCGUCGUCGUAUUAACCUUGGUACAUCGACAUAGGUUUAUGAUUUGCAAAAAGAUGCAAUUACUGUUAAUCAGAUCUGAGAACUCUACAACACUUGCUAGCUGGAGUUUUUCUGUCAUUAUGAUAUAUGAUGUUCAGUUGCUAGAAGUAUGCCAAACCGGUGCCUGUAAUUUGUGUGCCUUUAUCCUGUACAAGUGUACCAAACCAGUGCCUGUAAUUUGUAUGCUUCUUUUUUUUUGGGGGUAAUCUUCCUGACUAUUGUUUGGUCACUUGAGAUUUCUUUAUAGUUUAAUGUUUUUGUUAGAAUUGCUUGUAGUAAUGACAUGACUUGUAGAGACAUUUCAUUGUCAAAUGUGAGGUUACAAGGAAACAUUUGCAUUCAGAUCUUACCUAUACUUUGUAUUCCUUAUUAACAAACGAAGGAUCAAACAAGUGCAGAGCUUUGUUUUUUUGUGUUUGGAAUUGAGAUAACUUGUCGAUAUUUGGGACCCAACAGAUGAGUAUCACCACCAUGUUUAGUAGGGUCUAUUUUCUAACUGUGUAUUAUACAAGAAAGCUUCCUUUUAAAUAUGAUUUGGUAUUUAUAGUGUGGAAAUUAGGAAUGAAUAUAAUGUGCCAACUCUCAAAGAAUUGCUAAUAUUGCCUUUAGUUAAUACAUUGAUUUGUUACAUGUGAAAUGCAGAUACAUUUAACAUCAAAAGUAGAAUGAUGAAUGUGCUGGUUUAAUGGUAUGGAGGAUAUCAUGGUGGAGCCUGACUUUUCUGCUUCCAAGCAGAAUCAAUGAAAUUUAGAAAGUAAUCGGCAAGAUGGAUCACUUUCUUCAUUUGCCUAGGUAUGUGAUCUUUUAUGGUACAAGCUUUUAGUGUCUGGUUAUUGGAAAUCCUUUAUAUUGAUUUAAGAUCAAUGUAGUUGUGCUAAUAAAGGUAGAAACCAUAAUCUUUAUUUCUUUUAUGAGUUUGCCUUGGAAGCAAACUCAUGAUGCUAUCAUGAUGAAAAUUGAUGAGAAAAAGAGGGAGAAUGGUUACUAAAUUCUUAAUUAUGAUAGACCACAUAGCAACUGAAUGUGGCUCUGCAGGUGAGCAGAUACAAGUUUCUUAAGUGCAUUGGGAUGGCUUGCAGUAUUAUGAUCUGAGUUUGCUGGUCACAGGCAAAGACUUGUGUGGUCUCAUUUUGGUGACGCAGUCUGAGAUAAGAUGGCCACCGAAGCUUAAAGAUGGUACACAAGCAAGAAGGUUUGAUGACAUUUGUACUACUGUAUGUAGGUUGUUUGCCAUGUCCGGCUCUCAUCCUAUUUCUCAUGCUUUGCCGUUCCCUGUCUGCCGUCGUGGCGCUGUUGUUUGUUUGCUUUCGAUUACAAGAUCCGUGCUAACCACAGCGAUGAUCGUCUCUCCCGCUGGGACUGAGAUUUCGAGAAGACGAGUGCUUCAAGAUUCGUGAAAGAAAUCAUACGCCAAGCGUUUGUGAUGAAUUCUGUUAGGACGUUUAAUCAAUACCCUCAAACAGUUAAUCCUUUUUGAGAUUUUGAGAAGAACGCUUCAAGAUUCGUGAAAGAAAUCAUACGGAGCCUUUGUGAUUAACAAGUAAUAAUUUCUUUUUCCCAAAGGAUAGGUAGUGAAAAUUUACUUUCUUUUUUCAUGAAUUUUCUCAUCAAUCGUUGAUAUUUUUCAUGAAUAUAUAUAUAUAUAUAUAUAUAUAUAUAUAUAUAUAUAUAUAUAUAUAUAUAUAUAUAGAGAGAGAGAGAGAGAGAGAGAGAGAGAGAGAGAGAGAGAGAGAGAGNNNNNNNNNNNNNNNNNNNNNNNNNNNNNNNNNNNNNNNNNNNNNNNNNNNNNNNNNNNNNNNNNNNNNNNNNNNNNNNNNNNNNNNNNNNNNNNNNNNNNNNNNNNNNNNNNNNNNNNNNNNNNNNNNNNNNNNNNNNNNNNNNNNNNNNNNNNNNNNNNNNNNNNNNNNNNNNNNNNNNNNNNNNNNNNNNNNNNNNNNNNNNNNNNNNNNNNNNNNNNNNNNNNNNNNNNNNNNNNNNNNNNNNNNNNNNNNNNNNNNNNNNNNNAGAGAGAGAGAGAGAGGUUGGCAUUUAGAUGCAACAACCCUUCCAACUCAGAUACUAAUAGAAGUAAGUGUAUGACCAUGGAUCAACCAUGUAUAUAAUCAAUUUAUCGUAAGGAUUUGGUCUAAGUGGAUACAAAGUAGGUAGAUUUGAUGUAACAAAUCCUCCCAAUCCAAUGGAAUAUGGUUUCUUAUAUAUAUAUAUAAGUUGGUAGAAGAUGGGUAUCUCGUGACCUACCUUCCAAAAGCCUCAUGCUCGCUCUCUCUCUCUCUCUCAACUUCUCUGCUAUAAAUGACUUGCUUCCCUCGAAUACAUCUGCUGUGUUACUUUCUUCCUCUUAAUCGCUCCCACUAGCUCGUCAACACAAAGGCUUGCUUUCAUGGGAAUCUUCUCACUAGUGACAGGGUUACCAGGGCCAAGCGGCUUCGGAUCGUCUUCCACAGCAGAGCAGGUGACCGAAGGCGUCGACGCAUCCAACCUCACCGUCAUCAUCACCGGUAUGCUUCCUUCUCUCCAUGAUAAGCUUCCACUGGUUAACCUCAUGCAGGAAACUGUCACGUCCACAGGCGGUGCAAGCGGCAUCGGCGCAGAGACCGCAAGAGUCUUCGCACUUCGCGGUGCCCAUGUCAUCAUUGCAGCCAGGAACAUGGAGGCUGCCACUGAUGCGAAGCAGCUUAUCCUAAAGACCACUCCAUCUGCCAGGGUGGAUCUCUUAGAGCUCGAUCUCAGCUCACUGAAGUCUGUGCGUGCCUUCUCGGACAAGUUCCUCUCCAUGGAUCUUCCCCUCAACAUCUUAAUGUACUCCCCGUCUUCGUAUCAUGAGCUACACCUCGUAGCUUUGAUGUUUCUGGCACUGACUUCGAUUCCGCACUGUGCUUGUAGAAACAACGCCGGCGUCAUGUUCUGCCCUCACCAGCUCUCUGAGGAUGGAACAGAGAUGCAGUUCGCUACAAAUCACAUAGGUGCUCUACAUCUUUUCUCUCAAAGCUUAUCACAGGGAUGUUUGAAAUGCUUUGUUCCCUCGAUCUUUUGCCGUCAGGUCACUUUCAGCUGACGAAUCUUCUUCUUGAGAAGAUGAAAAGCACUGCGAGGAAGACAGGAAUCGAAGGUCGCAUUGUGAACUUGUCGUCUGUGGCUCACAUAUACACCUAUGAAGAUGGAAUUCGAUUUAGUGAACUCAAUGAAAAAUAUGGGUAUGUUAAUUGGUCAUUAGAAUCAUCUUUUCGGAGACGACUGAUUUGGUAAAUGGACUGUUGUCAGGUACUCCAGCAAGAAGGCAUAUGGGCAAUCUAAGCUGGCCAACAUAUUACACGCGAAUGAGCUCUCCAGGCGUCUACAGGUACUGUGGCGAUCAAAUGUUCUUAAGCCUCCACAUUUGGUACUCCAAAAGCUGAGCAGAGCGAUCUGCUGUGACAGGAAGAGGGAGCAAAUGUUACAGUCAACUCUGUUCAUCCAGGACUCAUCAUGACGAACCUGAUGAGGCACACCUUGUUCCUGAUGAGUAAGUUCUUAUACCAAGCUCUCGAUCAUGUCCUCCUCUUUCUCUGAGCCUUUGCUUGCAGGGAUGCUAAAGAUGGUCUCAUACAUACUGUGGAAGAACGUGCCGCAGGUACGACCCCGCGGAUUGCUGAAGCCAUGUAGGGACCUGUGGCUGUGUGCUCACAUCGUUAUGUUUCGGCGGUGCAGGGAGCAGCUACGACUUGCUACGUUGCGCUACAUCCGAGCGUGAAGGGCGCGUCGGGGAAGUACUUCGUCGACUGCAACGAGGCGAAGCCGAGCUCGUUGGCCGGAGACGAAACCCUUGCGAGGAGGCUGUGGGACUUCAGCGAGAAGCUGGUUAAUGCCAAAAGUUGUGACCGUCGGUGAUGAGAGAUGCAAACAGAGUUUGCUGUCUUCCAACUAUUUCAUGGGACUAUAAAUGAUGAGAACGAGAUUUAAUCUUAUAUAUUUCUCCUAUCAAUAGUUAAAAGACUUUACCAAGUAAAUCUCUAGGCAAGUAAAUGUAGUAUAGGAUCACCAAAUCAAUAUUUCAAGUGUAUAUCCAUGUAAUUAUAACUGUGUGGGUCUAAUAUAUUAAAUUAAAAUAAAUAAAUAAUAUAUAAAUUCUUGAAAAAAAAAACUCGUAAGCUUGAGAACUUUUUAUAUAGCAUCUCAAUCUUUUUUUUUAUUUUAAAGAUGAUCAUUUUGUUCUUGUCGAUCAUUAUAUCCUGUCUAAUAUUGUGAUUCUUACGUUCAGGAUGUCAUUAACACUAGAACGCUUUGUAAGUGAGUUAGCAUAUGUGCGUUUGUACCCAUUAGUCUUAUAGAAACCCUAAGACGGUGUAUUCAUUGGUUGCGACGAUAAACCUUCUACUUGAGGUUCAAGAAGGGACACUGAAACCUUCGCCCUCCCCGACCUCCCUCUCUCCCUUUCUCCUCCUCGCUAAUCUUCGUCGUCCGAUGUUAAGACUUAUGUUUGGUCAUCAGUUUAACCCAAAUCCUAUUUUUCCCUUCAGUAAUGUAUUACAAAAAAAUAAAUAGAAUAAAACCCUUCAUUAAUCCAUUUUCCAUCACUUGCUUAAAUUGCGGUUAAUUCUGAUACGGGGAUGACAAGCCCAUGAGAGCGAGAGACGACAGGCGGCACGAGUUCGAGACACGAAUCACGACGACUGCCGCUGCCGUCCAGCGCUGGCCCUCCUUUCCCGCCGCGAUCCAACCACCCUCCUUCUAAGAUGCGCCGGCGACCUCACCAUGCGCCAGCUACUCCAACUCCACGCCCACCUCAUCACCUCCCCUCCGCCCCCGGACGCCGUAGACCCCAACGUCGUCGCUGUCAAGCUCAUCUGCGCCGCUGCCGCGCGCUCCAACCCCCGCCAUGCCGCCCUCGUUUUCUCUGCUCUCUCCGCCCCCAACCUCGUCGCCUGGAACUCCCUCCUCCGGGCCCUUUCCCUCCACCACCUCCACCCCGUUGCCCUCCGCCAUUUCCAUCGCCUCCUCGCCGCCGGCUCCCCCCUGCCCGACGAAUUCACGUUCACCUCCGUCCUCAAGGCCUGCGCUGGCCUCCUUUCCAGGUCGGACGGGGAGAUGGCCCACGCCCUCGUCCUGACGCGCGGCUUCGAAUCCAACCUCUUCGUCCGCAACUCUCUCGUUGACAUGUACUUUAAGUUCGGCCGGCCCGACGAUGCACGACGCCUGUUCGAUGAAAUGAUCACGAAGGACGUCGUUUCUUGGAACACUCUGGUCUCUGGGUAUUGCUCUUGUGGUGACAUCUCCAUGGCGCGGAAGGUGUUUGAUCGGAUGCCUGAGAGGAGCAUGGUCUCCUGGUCUGCGAUGAUUGCAGGCCAUGCUCGGUCUGGCGACUUGGGCGCUGCUCGUGAGGUCUUUGAUCGAGCAAAUGAGAAGAGUGUUGGUUGCUGGAAUGCCAUGAUCUCGGGGUACGCUCAGAACGAGAAGUUCUCAGAGGCCAUUGCACUGUUCCGCAGGAUGCUGCAAAUCCCGAUGGUGCAGCCCAAUGAAGUUACACUUGUGUGUGUACUAUCAGCCUGUGCCCACCUAGGUGCCCUUGAUUUAGGAAGGUGGAUCGAUGGAUUCAUCAAGAGGAGAGCCAUGGGAUUGAGCCUCUUCUUGGGGAAUGCACUAUCGGACAUGUAUGCCAAGUGCGGGUGUGUAGCCGAGGCAAGAUCAGUGUUCGACAAAAUGGCAGAGAGGGAUGUGGUGUCAUGGAGUAUAAUUAUCACUGCAUCGGCCAUGCAUGGCCAUGCCGAGGAUGCAAUAUCUGGUUUCCACAGAAUGUUAGAGAGUGGCGUGAAGCCAAAUGACAUCACAUUCAUGGGAAUUUUAUCUGCUUGCACUCAUGGUGGCCUAGUGGAUGCAGGGCUUUGUUAUUUUGACAUGAUGACUGAGGAGUUUGAGAUCAUCCCAAAGGUUGAACACUAUGGCUGUGUGGUGGAUCUUCUCAGCCGCGCUGGAAGGCUUGAUGAAGCUGAGGACUUGAUAAAUUCAAUGCAGGUGGCACCCAAUGUCAUCGUCUGGGGUGCUCUGCUGGGUGGUUGCAGGAUCUACAAGGACAUAAACCGAGGGGAACGAGUAGUUCAACACAUACUGGAGUUAGACCCUGGGCACUCGGGCAGCUAUGUGUAUCUAGCAAACGUGUAUGUUUCGAUGGGAAGGUUGGAAGAUGCAGCGAAGUUUAGAUUAAUGAUGCGAGAGAAGAGGGUGGUGAAGACACCUGGUUGCAGUUGGAUUGAGGUAGACAACAUGGUACAUGAGUUCUUCAUGGGCGAUCGUUCGCAUCCACAAUCUGAAAAGAUAUAUUCAAUGAUCAGUACAUUGAGCUUAAGAAUGAAGCUCGCAGGAUAUGUCCCCAUCACAUCCUUGGUUUCACAAAGCAUAGAUGAGGAGGAAAAGGAGAAUGUGCUGUCGAUGCACAGCGAGAAGUUAGCUGUAGCUUUUGGGCUCAUCAGCACAAAGGAUGGUACCACAAUUCGAGUUGUGAAGAAUUUGCGGGUUUGUAAUGAUUGCCAUGAAGCCAUGAAGGUCAUCUCAAGAAUUGUCUCACGGGAGAUUGUUCUGCGUGAUCGAAGUCGGUUCCACCAUUUCAAGGAGGGUCAAUGUUCUUGUAAAGACUACUGGUAGUGAUCCUUAAAGAUGGGGCAACAAUUUUCCACUUUGAAAGAGGGAAGUCAAUUGCUGUGCCAGGAAGUUAAAGAUUGUUCCAAAUUUUGAUACCUACAGAUGUCUGCAAAGCCACAUUUCAUGUAUUGAUGAAAGUGAUUACUGACUUGAUGAAGGGAGUGCCAAUACGGUUGAAGGAUCUUUGAGAACAGCCAUGGAAUGCCUGGAGUUAGAUCCUGGACAUUAGGGCAGCUAUUUAUUGCUGGCACAAGUGUGACUUGGGUGUAUACUUAAUGCAAGCGGAAAGAGUCACCAUGAUACCUCCUGGUCGCAAUUAGAUCAAGUUAAGAUAAAUGCGCCACAUGAAUUUGUACAGGGAUAUAUUUAUAUCUCGUGAAAAAUGAUUAGUUCCCAAUAUGUUGGAAGUUCCUCAAAGCAUAGGCAAGGGUAAAAAAAGGAGUAUGCUCGAUUUGGCUGUGGUGAGAAGAUAGUGUGGAGUUCUGGCUCAUCAGCAUGACUGCUGAGAGAUGGCUACCGAAUUGAAACAUGAAAGAUGUGUCAAUUUGUAGUAAUGACUUUGAAGGUUGACUCAGAAAUUAGUCUAAUUGGAGCCUUUUGGUUGAGAUCAGCUUUCAGCAUCCAAAGGAGAGGGAAUCAUCCUGCAAAACGUUACUGGUAAUAAUUUUAAAGAUGGAUCAUCUGUUCUACCAUCAGAAAAAAGCAGAGGAACUUCUGUUAUUGUAGAAGGUGUUUAACCUCUGAAGUUACACAUCCAUCAGGCAGUUUGGCACAUCUUUACUGCUGCUCCUACGACACAGCAAUGAACUUAGUGCUCGAUUUUGUGAUGAGAAGAUGGUGUAGAUUUCCGGCUCAUCAGCAUGAUUGCUGAGAGAUGGUAACAGAGUUGAAACGUGAAAGAUGUGUCAAGUUGUAGUAAUCACUUUGAAGGUUGACUCGAAAUUAAUCUAAUUGGAGCUUUUUGGUUGAGAUAAGCUUUCAGCAUCCGAGGGAGAGCGAAUCAUCCUGCAAAACAUUACUGGUAAUAAUUUUAAAGAUGGAUCAUCUGUUCUAUCAUCAGAAAAAGCAGGAACUUCUGUUAUUGAGAAGAUGUUUAACCUCUGAAGUUACACAUCAAUCAGGCAGUUUGGCACAUCUUUACUGCUGCUCCUACGACACAGCAAUGAUCUUAGUGGUGGUAUCUUCGGCCUCUGUUCACAUCACGCAUGGAAGAGCCAUGACCAGACUGGAAUAUUAACUUAAACUUUAUGAUUAUUAGUAUUUUAAUUUAAAGUUUUAGUCAAGAUAGGUAUUAUUAUCAUAAUUGAAGUCAUAACUUCGUGACCAGAGAUUGUAAUAUGAGCCUUUAGUUUUCAAAUUUUUUAUUUUUCCUCUAUAAUUUCUUGAUCUUCAUGAACUUUUCAAGAAAAUUUGACCAGAGAUGGUAAUAUGAGCCUUUAGUUUUCAAAUUUCUUUAUUUUUCCUCUAUAAUUUCUUGAUCUUCAUGAACUUUUCAAGAAAAUUUUCAACAUGAUAUUGGAACAAUUAUUUUUCCUAAUAGGAUGGAUUUAUACAUCAAAUCUUAUGGCAUCCUACCAUGGAUGGUCAUAAUGUAUUCGUUAAUGGAUCGUUUAUUGUUUUUAUUUAUUUAUAUAUAUGUUUGAUAACAUGUUUUAUCUUGUUUUUAUGUAUUAUUGCUUGAAAACUAUAAGCAGAAAUAGUUUGCAAAGCUCUAGAGCAAUCAUUCACUAGAAUGAGUAAAAUUACCUCAAAAUAGUCCAAAUUUUGUUUGUCAUGGUCUAUUUUCUAUAGGUUGCGAUGUAAAAAAAAAUAUCAAUCAUCUCAGUAUCUCAAAACCCCUUAGGUAGUACCUGGAUGGUGGUUUGGGAUAGUAUUGAGCAUUGGUUGAAUUCACAAGGUUUCACGUUAGGUAUGGAGCGUUCAAGUUAUUAGUAAUGCUUUUCAGCUUAACCAAUGCUUUGGUCAUAUUAUGCACUCUCAUGGACCAACUAUGUAAUGAGGCAUCUGGACAAGUUUGUGAUCGUCUACUUGGACGAUAUCAUCGUUUACAGCUAAACACUUGAGUAACAUGUCAAGAACAUUCGAAUAAUUUUCAAUGUUUUUAGGGAUAACACUUUUUUCAUGAAAAUGGAGAAGUAUUAUUUUGCUCAAAUAGAGAUUUUAUUCUUAGGAUAUCGAAUUGACGAAGGUUCCAUUCGAAUAGAUAAAUCAAAGUUACAACCUGUGGUGGAGUAGCAAACACCACAAAAGGUACUUGAGCUGAGAUUCUUUCUUGAUUUCAUCAACUAUUAUUUGUGCUAAUGUAGCUGUGCGCUCAAAGUGCACAACUCUAUUGAUGAAGUUGCUAAAGAAGGAGUAGCCUUACCGAUGCUUAGACAAAUAUGAAGUGACAUUCUAAGACCUAAAGGUUGUUGUAUUGAAAGAACUAGUACUCAAAUUGAUGAACUAUAGGAAGCCUUUUAAAGUCCAUACAAAUACUUUGAACUUUGCUAUUUGGGGAGUACUUAUGCAGAAAGGUCAACUGGUGGCCUACGAGAGCCGCAAGCUCAACGAGAUCGAGCGGUGGUAUCCAAUGCACGAAAAGGAGAUAAUAGCGGUGGUUCAUUGUCUACAAGUUUGGCAAUACUAUCUUCUCGAAAUGCAAUUUGUGCUAAGAAUGGACAAUAUCGCAUUGAGUUACUUAUAAACUCAAAAGAAAUUCUCCCUAAAGCAAGCAUGGUGGCAGAACUUCAUGGCUGAAUUUGAUAUGAUAAUAAAGUACAAGCCCAGAAGAGUAAAUGUGGUAGCCAAUGCAUUGAGUAGAAAAGUGGAGAUGAUAAAUGCCAUGCAAUUGGAAGGUAGAGGCUAAACAAGUUAGCUAUAUUUAACUUCCUUUCCAAUAUUAGGAAUGGAUUGUAUAGUGAUCCAUAUGUAGUAACCCUAAUGCAACUAAUCAAACAAGAUAAGAUACGAUGAUUUUGGGUCCAAAAAGGACUCAUCUACACCAAAAGGAGUAGAGUUUCUGUUCCUUAAGCGGAUAAUAUAAGACAUGAACUUUUGAGAGUGUCAUAGUUUCCUUUGGGCAGGACAUUUGGGUAUUCACUGAACAUUAGCUCUUGUAAAGAGGGCAUUCUAUUGACCGAAGAUGGGGACUGAUAUGAAAAAAUAUGUUCAAACCACUUAUUAAUAAGAUAAGGCAGAGCAACGAAAGUUGAUGAGACUUUUGGAGUCGUUGCCUAUACUUGAAAGGAUGCAAGAGAGCAUUUCCUUUGACUUCAUAUCAAGCUUAUCGACAAUAAGGGAGAGUCAGAUCGAUACUCGUGGUGGUUGAUCAAUUUUUAAAAUAUAUAACAUUCAUUAUUUAACUCCUACACUACUCAACAAAGAAGGUGGUCAAAUUGAUGAUGAAGAAUGUGAUUAAGUAUUGAGAGGUCCCACAAGAUAUCAUUAGUGUUCGAGAUGUGUGAUUCUUAGGGUGAUUAUAGAUUGAACUAUUUAAAUUACUGAGAUCUAAGUUAUUCUUUUUCACAAGUCUCUACCGGAUAACCAAACUAUGAAAAAGAAAUUCACUCUUUUGAGCAAUAUCUUUAGCACCAUGUGAGUGUCAACUAACGAGAUUGAGUGAAGCUGUUUGACAUAAUCUAAUUCUCCUAUAAGUUGCAAUAGAGAUCUACAUCUAAUAAUAGCCCUUUCGAGAUCAUUAUGGGAUAGCAGUUGAUUUUUCAAACCUUAGCGAUCAGUUAUAUCGGAAGUAGUCCGUCAGCAUAUCACUUUACUUACAUGGAGAAGGCGACUAAAAGUUGAAGAAGUGGGUAUAUUUAAGAAGGCGUCCAUAGGGGUUUAAAGUCAAUGACUUGGUGUUAUUGAAGCUCCAACCAUAAAGUGCACAAGGAACUCGUGCAAAGACCCUUCUGAAUUAUCAAUAGGGUAAGCAAUGUCUUCUACAAGUUGUUACUAUCGAUGUAGCUCAAAAUUCAUAAUAUCUUUCACGUAAAUGACUUAAAAGCCUACCACUUAGAUCGGCAAGAUAUUUUCCGAAGCGUUCCAACUUAGCUACCAUCGACCUUAGCCUCCUAUAAAAAGUGAGUUGAAAUCAUUUUAGUAGAUCGUAAGACAAAGCUACCCAACAAAGCAAAGCAGAUCGAGUACUUGAUGAAAUGACAAAAAAUUCCCUAAACAAGCUAGUUGGAAGUCUGAAGACACCUUACGACAUGAAAAAACGGUCAUCAAGGACUACUAGUAAGCAUCGACAAGGGCAUUGACAAUUUAAAUGGGAAAAAAUGUCACAGACGGUUAUUGCACACCCAUAACGCUUUUGUCAAUAGACUAAUUGUCGCUUUUAUUUGCUUAUACAUAUGUUGAACAAUAUAUUUUAUAUUAUUUUUAUAUGUUUUUGCUUAAAAAUUAUAAACAAGAAAAGUUUACAACAGUAUAGGUGGCACCUAACUAGAUGGAGAUUUGAUAGUGUUGAGUGUGCUCGACUCCCGAUGAAUAGUUGUUUGACCUUUUUUUUUUUUUUUCUUUUUCUCUUGUACACUCAGUAUUUAUUGAAUUGCUUAUAAGACUAUCAUCUUCACGAUACAUCGAAACUUGUCUAUCGCUCAUAUUUGAACUACUCAAUUUGCUCUUUCCAUAUCAUACCUAAUCUUUUAUGAUCCAAUAAUGUAAAAUAACAAUGCCAAUACUAUUGGAGUAAGUGAACAGAUCAGACAGACACCCGUUUGGGUGCAAAUCCACGGGCUUCUAUGAUUGCAUUAGGAGAACUAAUAAAAUCAAGAUAUCAUAAACAUCUUAGUUUUACUAUUAAUCUUGAAGAUACAAGAAAUUUUUUUUUUUCGAAAAAGGACCGAUCUAUAGGCAAAUCAGAAACAUCAAGAACAGAUUGUUCCAAGCAAACCGAAUAUUGGUGAGACAUUAAGUUCUCCAAAACAUGGUCCAUGACCAAACAACAACAUAAAGGCCUCGGUUCUUAGUUCCUGGAACUCGAAAUCACCGUAGCAUUCUCGUGUUCAACCCACGACAACAGUAGAUGCAACCAACGACAACCACAGGCAAAGAGAAAAUGGAAACCAACCGAUGCAUGCUUGCACUUGACAUGCUUAUUUAUCUACAAUCAUCAGCAAUAUCUUGUGUGAAACAUUACGGUGGCGAAGGCCUCUCACGUAGCCUCCGCCAUAGAUAUAUGCACUUUAGUAAGCGCUUCCCUCAAGAAGGUGUUCCCGCACUUGGAAUCUUGCUUACUGACUGCAUACUUCAAGACUUCCAUGCUGGAAUUGUCGUAUCCAUUCGGCGGGGACGUAUCCCCAGUGCUUUGUGACCUGAAAAAUAUAGUGAUUUAAAUCUUAAUUUCAAGAGCAUUGAUGCAUAAAUUCAUGCCAAAGUUGUCAUCAUCUACCAAAUGUAAUCAAGAAUUAACCUCAUAUCCACAGAUUCAGCCAUAUUGCCUGCGCUGCUCCUGUUUGUACUCCUCCUCUCGGUAUUGCUUCCCCGUGCCGAUUUGCCCUUGUGCUUGUGUUUAUUGCCAUCUUUUUUCUUUGCUCGGGGGCGUUGGUGAUGGCUCUUCUUUACAGUGUGCGACACUGUGGUGCACGGUGGAUCAUAAACCUCGGGGGCCCAUUUUACACGUAACUGCACAUUCGAAGGUGAUCCAUUCUUCGCACGGCUACCCUUUACGGCAGAAAUGAGUUUUGAAGGAGCCUGGAAAAACACAGUUCAAUCAAUACAAUUAGGAAGUACUUCUACACGAAACAUUCUCAUCAUAUGAAAUCUUUUAAAGUGAACCUCAUCCUAGAAGGCAUCAACCAGAAAAGUAGGAAUUUAUAUAACCAAGACAGCAUUGUUUGAAAUUGUAUGUAGCGCCAUCACUUGCAUCUAACACCUAUCCUAAUGAGACUACUACCAGCAGAACAUUCCAUAAAUACAUGAACAAUCAUAUUUGCAUGCAUAGAGUAUCUUCUCCUGGGACCAACAAGGAACCCAGUCCAAAAGGAAAAAAGUAAUGACCUUUAUCAUCAUAAAGAAUUCUCUGCUAAUAUUUUCACCAUAUGAAAGUAAAUUUCCUCAAUAUGAUUGCUCCCUAGGAGCAAUUUGUUCUUCAGUGCAAUAUUCAGGAUGUAAUGGCAGCAAUAAAUUGGCAAGUUUAGCAAUGAUACAUCAUCAAGAAUGCUUGCAUAGACUAGGACCAACUGAUACUCAAAUUAUUUAAACAAUAGAGACUCACAGGGAGAGAAACUGAACGUGCAUAUGUAGGAUUAUUAGGUGCAGAAGAACACUCUUGUUGAAAAGCACUGCACGGCAUCCCACAACCACCAUCUAUAGAGAGAUCAACAGGGUCCACCUCCACUGAGGAAGGAAAUGUUGCAGAUUUAGUCAAGGCUUUCUGUUUCUUCACAUCAGACGAAGCAAAAUGAUGUAACUCUUGGUAACUCUCAAGAUGCUUUGCUUCGAGUACUUUCUCAUCUGAGGUUGCAUUAUCAGAUAACUGUGCUUGAAGAUCACCGACAGGCAGAACCAAAGAAGGAGCAACAUCAGCCUCUUGAACUGUUAACACAUCAUUUUCGCUAAUAAAAGGAUCACUCGGGGUCCCCUGCAAUGUAAGCUUAGCAGUUUCUUCUUUAUUCCAGCAAACACACUCUUUGUUUUCUACAUUUGAUUUCCCGUGGCUAAGGCCAUCGACAUAUAAGCCACAACUAGUAUCUCCAAGAGGUGUAUCAGCAUUACAGACACUGUCCAUCCAGCUGCUAUUGUAUCAAAAGCUGACAAAGAGUUCAUAUUAAUGGUUUCACCAUAUGUAUAUUUUAUAUCAAGAACAAUAGAACUACUACAAGAAAUUGGCAGGAAUAUUAUGCUACACAAGUUUAUUUGCUAAACAUGAAGCAUGGUGUAAUGUACAUAUAUUAACUCUCUGUUCAAGACUACAAAAACUCAUAUAACUACUAUUCAGUGCAAAAUUGAUUUUUGCUUGGAAGAGAUCAAUAUAAUAUAAUUACAUUUACUCAUAGAAGCUUCAACACUCAAACCUCAAUUAAAUAACAGAACCAACCCUCACCUAAUCGAGAAGAUGCAAUGAGCAACCUCAGAAUAAACUGAAACAUGUCAGAAAUAAAAUCCAGUAAAAGAAAGCAAAUAAUGUUUCUGUUAACCAAAAAAAAAAAGAGUACAUGACGUUGAUCAAAAUCAGGCAACCACAAGACAGAGGCUUGUGACCGAAUCAUACUACUUGUGUCUAGAACAUCAAAUCUACAACACAUAGGACCAUAAUUUUACAUGAACGUAGCAAACUAGGAUUUUAGAAAAAAACACAAAUGACAUUUAGUUUUGGUUGGUAACUCUGAGUUUCUUUGUCAUGCACUAAAUUAUACAGGCAGUUUAGGCUGGACUUGGUCCAAACAUUUGGCACAAUGAUCUGGGAGUUUCAUUUCAACAACCCAAAAUCCAUUGUGCUUAUUGUUUAUCCUUUUCUGGCAACAGUUUAUCAUGAAAGUAAAGCUCAAUCUUGUCCAAGUAGGAGAAACAUGUGAACAUUCUGUACUCAAAAUGUAUCUACUUACCAUGCAACCUGACAGGAUUUAGGCACACAUGCUGACUAAAGUAAACAAGCGUGUGAGAGAAAUAUCAUAAUUAAAAAAUUAGACUGGUUUUAAACGCUCUCAGUCAUAAGAAAAAUCACUAUAUCAUAGAUAUAUUCACCAGACUGGGAAAACAGUAUAUUUAAUAUAUACUUCUCACUAACAAGAUAUCCAGAAAUCACCUAGUAAGAUAAACCAAUAUCAAAGUUGAGUAAACUAACACAUUUUGGAAAAAAAAAAAAACGGUAAUAAUAAUAUUGAAAAAGUUUAUUUAUCAACAUCUUCAUGUCUAAUAAAUGUACAAAGAGUAAUACAUAACAUGCAUAUGCACAUAUAAUCAGUCACCUUAUCCAUCCCGGGAUUUGCAUCAUCAAGUUUGAUGUGCUGAUAUCACAAAAGACCUUUCUCGAAGAAUUAAGGGCAAGUUAGCAAUGACUCUUCACACAAUUUUUAUCUUGGGCAACAAAACAACUCCAGUUGUUUAGUGUAUCUGUGCAUAUUCUUAAUAAACAAAUACUAAUAGACCCAUGAUGAACCAUUGGACCACUGGAGGCCCCAGUGCAGUGACCCAGAUCAUUCAGUCGAUCUCCUGUCCGAGGCUGGAUAGAACACUUCCUCUUGAGAAGGUAACCUAACAGUUAUUUUUCACAUUCAACAGGACAGAUAUGCUACAUACUAUUUUUAAACAUCACUGAUCUUUCAUAUUCAAUAUAUUUCAUUAAAAAAUGUAUUGAUUUUAGUGAAAAUAGAUGUAAAUAUAAAAAAUUAUUCCUAUUCAAGAUAUUUGACUAAAUCUAGCUGUAUGCUAAAUACGACUAUGACUAGCAUACAAACAUAUCCAAGAAUCAAUUGUACUGGGAGCAUCCUAAUAAAGGACAGUUUAAACCAAAAUAAAGGCAACCUUCCAGUUGAAAUAGCUGUCUCUUUGUAAUUUAUUUAAGUUAAUGCCAAAUAAACAAAUGGCCAGUGGAAGAUUAGCAAAAGAAAAUAAACAAACAAAGUUUCAUGCACAUGCACCUUCCCUUUGUUGUGGAAAAACAGUGUGAGAAGUGAAUGAGUCAGUGUGUGUGUGUGUGUGAGAGAGAGAGAGAGAGGUUGGGGGGGUGGGGUGGAGGAAGACAGUUUAAUCAACAUCAUGAACCGGCUUGCUGAACAUAUCUUUUUACCUGUUGUCAUGAAACAAAUGUUUGCUAAUUCC